UGACAGUAGGCUUGAGACAUACCAGAGCAUGAUGCAAGUCACCUUACAUACUUACCAUCCUUGUAAUGAUUACUCGAAGCAAGCACGGCGAGAACUCCAUGAUCUGCGAUGUCGUUAACCUCAGCCUCAGGGGGCUCUUGAUCAGACUGAUAGAUACUUGAUGCUCCCUCUGUAACAUUUUAUAAGACGUUUUGAGUCCAUGGCAGUGUCAAAAAACGUCUUAUAUCAUGUCACCGAGGGAGUACAUAUAUACUCCUGUAAGAAUAGUUGCCCUCAUCGGUUGCCGUCCAUACUCGUUCUUAUGCAUACAUACUUGCUGCAAAUGAUUUCUCUCUUAUAAACUUUAGGAAUUUUCUGAUGGUGUUUGAAAAUUGAAACCCACUAGUACUAGUAUGCAUGGACAAAGAGGCCCUGGUGGCAUUAUUUCUGCAUUGCGUUACAUACUCUGAUGAUAUGCAUGCUCUCAUCAACUUGUGAAUUCCUUGUUAGACUGUAUAUACGUAGCCUCUGUAAUAUACUGUAACAUUGUAUUGUACCCCUUGGGAUAUCUUCUAUAUAAUGAGAUAGCCACACCCCGGUUUAGGGUGUCGAGCAGUUCCCAACAUAUUACGUUUUACAUGGUACCAGAUUAGGUUAAGAUGGCUUCCGCUGCCUCUACCGCCGCCGCCGCCGUCGUUGCGCCGACCUCUGUCGUCGCCCCCGCCAUCGCUGCGCCGGCCCUUGGGUCGCCGUUCCUGGCCUCGCGCCCCCUUGCGAUGGCCCAUGGCGCUCCUCCAUCGCCUGGUCCCCAGAUCGGAUCGGGCCUCCCUGGCGAUCAUGUCGCCCCGCCCAACGUCGUGGCGGGCGAUCUGUACUCGUGCGGCGCUCCUGCAACGGCUCAUGGUGGGCCGCCGCCGCCGUCGUCCUGGAUGGCGCCGCCGUCCGGUGCGCCUCCUGUCCCGCACCACUACGGCGUCCAGUCAUCCCAUCCCUACGGCGCGCCGCCACACCAACCCUAACCGGCGAUCUGUACUCAUGUGGCUGCGGCUGCCUUGCAGUAUGGGGCGCCAGCUGCGGCGUCCUACGGUGCCCCGACGGCUGGUUCUGUCGGGCCCUAUCCGUCCUACUCGGGACCGGCUGCACAUUCGUCGAUGGGCUUCUACGCACCGCCGCAUGCUCACGGUGAUCAGGCCGCAGUGCCGUCGCCGUUUUACUUCUCACACCUGCUACCGGUGAAACUCACGCCAGACAACUACUUGUCCUGGCAUGCCCAGGUGUUGCCUCUUCUGCGGAGUUGCUACCUGGAGGGCUACGUCGACGGGUCCAUCCCGUGUCCGCCCCCUCAGCACCCGGCGUAUCAUGCAUGGGUGGCCCAGGAUCAAGCCAUCCUCUCCGCCAUCCAGUCCUCGCUCGCUCCGAGCGUCUCGUCGCUGGUCAUCUUCGCCGCUACGUCACGAGAGGCAUGGGCGGCUCUUCACACCAGCUUCGCCUCUCAGUCUCAGGCACGUGCCCACUCUAUCCGCACCGAGCUAGGUGAGACCAAGCUUGGUGACCUCAGCAUUACGAACUACUUCAACAAGAUGAGGGGCCUCGCCGACACACUGGCUUCGAUUGGCCAGUCUCUGCAGGACCAGGAGUUUACCACCUUCGUGCUUAACGGGCUUGAUGAUGAUUAUGACAAUCUCGUUGAGAACGUUCAUGGCCGUGAUGAUCCACUUCCACCUCGCGAGCUUUAGGCCCGACUCCUUGGCCGCGAACAGCGCAUCAAGGCGCGUCGUGUCUCACCAGGUUUUGCCUCCGCCAAUGCCGCGACUCGCGGCAAACCUCCGCGGUCAUCAUCUUCCGGUGGCAAGCCGGCACCGUCUUCACAGCCGGCCCCGCGUGGCAAUGCGCCAUCCAUCACGGGUGGCAACCGGCCGGUUGCUUGCUGCUCCUCCUGCGGUGCCCCGCAGGCCUGCCAGCUGUGUGGCCUUGAGCGCCACAUCGCCUCUCGCUGCCUCGUCGCUACAAGCAAGAUUUCCUGGGCCUCAGCAACAAUGGUAAAGGGAACGAUAAGCAGGCCGCCGCCGCCGUGACGAGUCAUGAUCAUGGUCGCACUCCGCCCUACUCCAUUGAUCCGACAUGGUAUAUGGACACCGGAGCUACUAACCACCUCACCGGCGAGAUGGGCAAGCUCUCUACUCAGGAGCCAUAUCGUGGUCAUGAUCAGGUGCACACCGCCAGUGGAGCAGGUAUGCGCAUCUCUCAUGUUGGUCAGGCUUCUCUCCUUGCACACAAUUUUCGCAAACUACAUCUUUCCAAUGUCCUUCGUGUUCCCUCUGCUACGCGUAGUUUGUUGUCUAUUCCUCAACUUACACGUGAUAAUAAUGUCCUUGCCGAGUUUCACCCUUUUCGUUUCUUUAUCAAGGAUCGGGACACGAGGGCCGUUCUGCUUAGCGGUCGUCUUCGCCAUGGCUUGUACGCACUUGAUGCAUCACGCACACCCUCCAUGCAGUCUUCUCCUCAGGCGUUCAGUGGUGUCCGUGUGUCGCCCACUCACUGGCAUGCGCGCCUUGGUCAUCCUGCAGCUCCCAUAGUUCGUCAUGUGUUGCAUCGUUAUGAGCUACCAGUUGUGUCCAAUAAAACUGCUGAAACUUUCUGUGAUGCCUGUCAGCAGGGAAAGAGUCACCAACUUCCGUUUUCAGAGUCUAGUCGUGUUGUGAAACAUCCUCUUGAGCUUGUGUUUUCUGAUGUCUGGGGUCAUGCCCAGACAUCCGUUAGUGGUCACAAUUAUUAUGUCAGUUUUAUUGAUGCCUAUAGUCGGUUUACUUGGUUAUAUCUUAUUAAGCGUAAGUCUGAUGUGUUCGAUGGUUUUAUUCAGUUUCAAGCACACGUUGAGCGUCUCCUUAAACAGAAAAUCAUCCAUGUCCAAUCCGACUGGGGUGGUGAAUACCACAACCUCAACUCGUUUUUUAACAAACUUGGGAUUUCGCAUCGCGUGUCAUGUCCUCAUACACAUCAUCAGAACGGAACUGCCGAACGUAAGCAUCGUCACCUCGUUGAAACUGGCCUAACCUUACUAGCUCAUGCAUCCGUUCCGUUUCGGUUCUGGAGUGAUGCUUUCUCCACAGCCUGUUUUCUUAUUAAUAGGCUUCCCUCACGACUUCUGAAAAUGCAAAACCCGCUUGAACUCUUACUCAAUGAAAUCCCAGACUACACGUUCUUCAAAGUGUUUGGGUGUGCAUGUUGGCCUCACCUUCGUCCAUAUAACAAGCGUAAGAUAGAGUUUCGGUCUAAGAAGUGUGUUUUUCUCGGGUAUAGUUCCCUCCACAAAGGGUACAAGUGCCUACAUGUUCCAACAAACCGCGUCUACAUUUCUCGUGACGUUGUGUUUGAUGAAAAUGUGUUCCCCUUUCGUGCACUUCCGACUCACUCUACCACUCCUAUGUCAUCAGUCCCUGUGUCUAUACCUUCGCCUGAUCAAUUUGUGGAUGUUGCAUAUGCCCCUGCGUUGCUUCCUAAUCAUGCUGCAGGUAUUGGACGCGGCGCCCGUCUCGAGCUUCUUGAUGAACAGGUCGUGGAUGUGACUCGCGCUCCGGACGUGCAUGCGCCAUGCAUGACGGGUGGCGCCUGUCAACCCGCUACCGCCUCACCUGUGGAGGCUGCCUCGCGGGUGCCCGGCUCGCCCGACACACGUGCGCCCGCGCCUGGCUCGCGGGUCGCCGUCUCGACUGGGCCGACGCUGGCCUCGCCCGACGCACAUGCACCCGCCUCGCCUGGCUCGCCUGGGCCGGCUUUGGCCUCGCCCGACUCGCGGGCCUCUGUCUCGCCUGGGUCAGUGCUGGGCUCGCCGGCCGCCGCCUCACUUGGACUGGUGCUGGGCUCGCUGGCCCCUGCCUCGACUGGCCCGAUAGUGCUGUCACCUGCCCCGACCAGCUCUGCUUCGGUCUCCAGUUCGCCGACAGGCUCUGUCUCGGCCUCCUCCGAGUCGGACUCGCCUGGUCCCACGCCGGCCUCGCCACCGCAGCCUACAGUUGCUCUUCGUCCUCGAACACGGAGCCAACACAACAUUUUUCGUCCAAAGGAGCGCACGGAUGGUACGGUUGCGUGGCUUGCUGCGUGCAUGGCCCAUACUACUGCCGAUCCCACUGCAGAGCCUCGUCACUUUUCAGGCUGCACCGAGCAUCCCUCACUGGCGUGCCGCCAUGGAACAGGAAGUUCAGGCUCUUCACAAGAAUGACACCUGGCGUCUUGUUCCUCCAGUACCUGGUGUCAACAUCAUUGAUUCUAAGUGGGUAUUUAAAGUCAAGAGACAUGCUAAUGGUUCCAUCGAACAAUACAAGGCACGGCUAGUCGCCAAGGGUUUCAAACAGAGGUAUGGUCUUGAUUAUGAAGACACGUUCAGUCCAGUCAUCAAGCCUACUACCAUUCGAUUAUUGCUGUCUCUUGCUGUUAUUCGUGGGUGGUUCCUUCGUCAGCUUGAUGUGCAGAACACUUUUCUCCAUGGCAUUCUAGAGGAGGAGGUUUAUAUGCGUCAGCCGCCUGGUUUCAUUGAUCCGGCACGUCCUCACCAUCUCCGUCGACUGGGCGCUAUAUGGACUCAAGCAGGCCCCUCGAGCAUGGCAUGCUCGCCUUGGGUCUGUUCUUCGGGCCCUUGGGUUUACUCCCUCCACUGUUGAUACGUCAUUGUUUCUCCUACAGCAUCCUGAGGUUACGAUGUAUCUCCUGGUUUAUGUUGAUGACAUCAUUCUCAUCAGUUCCUCUGACGCUGCUGCUGAUCGCCUUGUGACUGCUCUCAGUGAUAACUUUGCUGUCAAGGAUUUAGGUGCACUGCAUUUCUUCCUUGGUCUGGAGGUUUCCCGCUCUUCUGCUGGGCUGACUCUUACUCAGAAAAAGUACUCCCUGGACUUGUUGCGGCGUGCUGGAAUGCUUCAGUGCAAACAUGCUGUCACUCCGAUGUCUGCCACUGAUCGGUUGUCUGCCCUUGAUGGAGACUCUCUCUCGUCUGAUGAUGCUACUGAGUAUCGUAGUCUUGUUGGUGGUCUGCAAUACCUUACUAUUACCAGGCCUGAUAUCUCUUAUGCAGUCAAUCAUGUGUGUCAAUUUCUGCAUGCCCCCAGGACAUCUUAUUGGUUAGCUGUGAAGCGUAUUUUGCGCUAUGUCUGUCUUACUGCCUCCUAUGGUUUGCUUCUUCAGCCUGCACCGUCGUGUGAGCUCUCAGCUUUCUCUGAUGCAGACUGGGCUGUUAGUCCUGAUGACAGGCGAUCCACGGGGGGAUAUGCGGUAUUCCUUGGUUCUAACUUGAUCGCCUGGAAUGCUCGUAAGCAGGCCACAGUCUCUCGCAGUAGUACUGAAGCUGAGUACAAAGCUGUUGCUAAUGCAACUGCUGAGAUCAUAUGGGUACAGUCUCUAUUGAAAGAGUUGCGUGUCUUUCCGGCUCAGCCUCCAGUUUUGUCAUGUGACAACACCGGUGCUACAUAUCUCUCUUCUAACCCGGUGUUUCAUGCUCGGACAAAACACAUUGAGGUUGACUAUCAUUUUGUUGGGGAACAUGUUGCACAGAAGCUACUCUGUAUCAAGUUUAUCUCAUCCAAGGAUCAACUUGCUGACAUCUUCACGAAGCCUCUUCCACAACCACAGUUUGUAGGCUGUAGGCGCAAUCUUAACUUGCUUUGUACUUCAGGCCAUAGUUAAGAUUGAGGGAGGGUGUUAGACUGUAUAUACGUAGCCUCUGUAAUAUACUGUAACAUUGUAUUGUACCCCUUGGGGUAUCCUCUAUAUAAUGAGAUAGCCACACCCCGGUUUAGGGUGUCGAGCAGUUCCCAACAUAUUACGUUUUACAUGGUAUCAGAUUAGGUUAAGAUGGCUUCCGUUGCCUCUACCGCCGCCGCCGCCGUCGUUGCGCCGACCUCUGUCGUCGCCCCCGCCAUCGCUGCGCCGGCCCUUGGGUCGCCGUUCCUGGCCUCGCGCCCCCUUGCGAUGGCCCAUGGCGCUCCUCCAUCGCCUGGUCCCCAGAUCGGAUCGGGCCUCCCUGGAGAUCAUGUCGCCCCGCCCAACGUCGUGGCGGGCGAUCUGUACUCGUGCGGCGCUCCUGCAACGGCUCAUGGUGGGCCGCCGCCGCCGUCGUCCUGGAUGGCGCCGCCGUCCGGUGCGCCUCCUGUCCCGCACCACUACGGCGUCCAGUCGUCCCAUCCCUACGGCGCGCCGCCACACCAACCCUAACCGGCGAUCUGUACUCAUGUGGCUGCGGCUGCCUUGCAGUAUGGGGCGCCAGCUGCGGCGUCCUACGGUGCCCCGACGGCUGGUUCUGUCGGGCCCUAUCCGUCCUACUCGGGACCGGCUGCACAUUCGUCGAUGGGCUUCUACGCACCGCCGCAUGCUCACGGUGAUCAGGCCGCAGUGCCGUCGCCGUUUUACUUCUCACACCUGCUACCGGUGAAACUCACGCCAGACAACUACUUGUCCUGGCGUGCCCAGGUGUUGCCUCUUCUGCGGAGUCGCUACCUGGAGGGCUACGUCGACGGGUCCAUCCCGUGUCCGCCCCCUCAGCACCCGGCGUAUCAUGCAUGGGUGGCCCAGGAUCAAGCCAUCCUCUCCGCCAUCCAGUCCUCGCUUGCUCCGAGCGUCUCGUCGCUGGUCAUCUUCGCCGCUACGUCACGAGAGGCGUGGGCGGCUCUUCACACCAGCUUCGCCUCUCAGUCUCAGGCGCGUGCCCACUCUAUCCGCACCGAGCUAGGUGAGACCAAGCUUGGUGACCUCAGCAUUACGGACUACUUCAACAAGAUGAGGGGCCUCGCCGACACACUGGCUUCGAUUGGCCAGUCUCUGCAGGACCAGGAGUUCACCACCUUCGUGCUUAACGGGCUUGAUGAUGAUUAUGACAAUCUCGUUGAGAACGUUCAUGGCCGUGAUGAUCCACUUCCACCUCGCGAGCUUUACGCCCGACUCCUUGGCCGCGAACAGCGCAUCAAGGCGCGUCGUGUCUCACCAGGUUUUGCCUCCGCCAAUGCCGCGACUCGCGGCAAACCUCCGCGGUCAACAUCUUCCGGUGGCAAGCCGGCACCGUCUUCACAGCCGGCCCCGCAUGGCAAUGCGCCAUCCAUCACGGGGGGCAACCGGCCGGUUGCUUGCUGCUCCUCCUGCGGUGCCCCGCAGGCCUGCCAGCUGUGUGGCCUUGAGCGCCACAUCGCCUCUCGCUGCCUCGUCGCUACAAGCAAGAUUUCCUGGGCCUCAGCAACAAUGGUAAAGGGAAUGAUAAGCAGGCCGCCGCCGCCGUGACGAGUCAUGAUCAUGGUCGCACUCCGUCCUACUCCAUUGAUCCGACAUGGUAUAUGGACACCGGAGCUACUAACCACCUCACCGGCGAGAUGGGCAAGCUCUCUACUCAGGAGCCAUAUCGUGGUCAUGAUCAGGUGCACACCGCCAGUGGAGCAGGUAUGCGCAUCUCUCAUGUUGGUCAGGCUUCUCUCCUUGCACACAAUUUUCGCAAACUACAUCUUUCCAAUGUCCUUCGUGUUCCCUCUGCUACGCGUAGUUUGUUGUCUAUUCCUCAACUUACACGUGAUAAUAAUGUCCUUGCCGAGUUUCACCCUUUUCGUUUCUUUAUCAAGGAUCGGGACACGAGGGCCGUUCUGCUUAGCGGUCGUCUUCGCCAUGGCUUGUACGCACUUGAUGCAUCACGCACACCCUCCAUGCAGUCUUCUCCUCAGGCGUUCAGUGGUGUCCGUGUGUCGCCCACUCACUGGCAUGCGCGCCUUGGUCAUCCUGCAGCUCCCAUAGUUCGUCAUGUGUUGCAUCGUUAUGAGCUACCAGUUGUGUCCAAUAAAACUGCUGAAACUUUCUGUGAUGCCUGUCAGCAGGGCAAGAGUCACCAACUUGUUUUCAGAGUCUAGUCGUGUUGUGAAACAUCCUCUUGAGCUUGUGUUUUCUGAUGUCUGGGGUCAUGCCCAGACAUCCGUUAGUGGUCACAAUUAUUAUGUCAGUUUUAUUGAUGCCUAUAGUCGGUUUACUUGGUUAUAUCUUAUUAAGCGUAAGUCUGAUGUGUUCGAUGGUUUUAUUCAGUUUCAAGCACACGUUGAGCGUCUCCUUAAAUAGAAAAUCAUCCAUGUCCAAUCCGACUGGGGUGGUGAAUACCACAACCUCAACUCGUUUUUUAACAAACUUGGGAUUUUGCAUCGCGUGUCAUGUCCUCAUACACAUCAUCAGAACGGAACUGCCGAUCGUAAGCAUCAUCACCUCGUUGAAACUGGCCUAACCUUACUAGCUCAUGCAUCCGUUCCGUUUCGGUUCUGGAGUGAUGCUUUCUCCACAGCCUGUUUUCUUAUUAAUAGGCUUCCCUCACGACUUCUGAAAAUGCAAAACCCGCUUGAACUCUUACUCAAUGAAAUCCCAGACUACACGUUCUUCAAAGUGUUUGGGUGUGCAUGUUGGCCUCACCUUCAUCCAUAUAACAAGCGUAAGCUAGAGUUUCGGUCUAAGAAGUGUGUUUUUCUCGGGUAUAGUUCCCUCCACAAAGGGUACAAGUGCCUACAUGUUCCAACAAACCGCGUCUACAUUUCUUGUGACGUUGUGUUUGAUGAAAAUGUGUUCCCCUUUCGUGCACUUCCGACUCACUCUACCACUCCUAUGUCAUCAGUCCCUGUGUCUAUACCUUCGCCUGAUCAAUUUGUGGAUGUUGCAUAUGCCCCUGCGUUGCUUCCUAAUCAUGCUGCAGGUAUUGGACGCGGCGCCCGUCUCGAGCUUCUUGAUGAACAGGUCGUGGAUGUGACUCGCGCUCCGGACGUGCAUGCGCCAUGCAUGACGGGUGGCGCCUGUCAACCCGCUACCGCCUCACCUGUGGAGGCUGCCUCGCGGGUGCCCGGCUCGCCCGACACACGUGCGCCCGCGCCUGGCUCGCGGGUCGCCGUCUCGACUGGGCCGACGCUGGCCUCGCCCGACGCACGUGCACCCGCCUCGCCUGGCUCGCCUAGGCCGGCUUUGGCCUCGCCCGACUCGCGGGCCUCUGUCUCGCCUGGGUCGGUGCUGGGCUUGCCGGCCCCCGCCUCACUUGGACUGGUGCUGGGCUCGCUGGCCGCUGCCUCGACUGGCCCGAUAGUGCUGUCACUUGCCCCGACCAGCUCUGCUUCGGUCUCCAGUUCGCCGACAGGCUUUGUCUUGGCCUCCUCCGAGUCGGACUCGCCAGGUCCCACGCCGGCCUCGCCGCCGCAGCCUGCAGUUGCUCUUCGUCCUCGAACACGGAGCCAGCACGACAUUUUUCGUCCAAAGGAGCGCACGGAUGGUACGGUUGCGUGGCUUGCUGCGUGCAUGGCCCAUACUACUGCCGAUCCCACUGCAGAGCCUCGUCACUUUUCAGGCUGCACUGAGCAUCCCUCACUGGCGUGCCGCCAUGGAACAGGAAGUUCAGGCUCUUCACAAGAAUGACACCUGGCGUCUUGUUCCUCCAGUAUCUGGUGUCAACAUCAUUGAUUCUAAGUGGGUAUUUAAAGUCAAGAGACAUGCUAAUGGUUCCAUCGAACAAUACAAGGCACGGCUAGUCGCCAAGGGUUUCAAACAGAGGUAUGGUCUUGAUUAUGAAGACACGUUCAGUCCAGUCAUCAAGCCUACUACCAUUCGAUUAUUGCUGUCUCUUGCUAUUAUUCGUGGGUGGUUCCUUCGUCAGCUUGAUGUGCAGAACACUUUUCUCCAUGGCAUUAUAGAGGAGGAGGUUUAUAUGCGUCAGCCGCCUGGUUUCAUUGAUCCGGCACGUCCUCACCAUCUCUGUCGACUGGUUAAGGCGCUAUAUGGACUCAAGCAGGCCCCUCGAGCAUGGCAUGCUCGCCUUGGGUCUGUUCUUCGGGCCCUUGGGUUUACUCCCUCCACUGUUGAUACGUCAUUGUUUCUCCUACAACAUCCUGAGGUUACGAUGUAUCUCCUGGUUUAUGUUGAUGACAUCAUUCUCAUCAGUUCCUCUGACGCUGCUGCUGAUCGCCUUGUGACUGCUCUCAGUGAUAACUUUGCUGUCAAGGAUUUAGGUGCACUGCAUUUCUUCCUUGGUCUAGAGGUUUCCCGCUCUUCUGUUGGGCUGACUCUUACUCAGAAAAAGUACUCCCUGGACUUGUUGCGGCGUGCUGGAAUGCUUCAGUGCAAACAUGCUGUCACUCCGAUGUCUGCCACUGAUCGGUUGUCUGCCCUUGAUGGAGACUCUCUCUCGUUUGAUGAUGCUACUGAGUAUCGCAGUCUUGUUGGUGGUCUGCAAUACCUUACUAUUACCAGGCCAGAUAUCUCUUAUGCAGUCAAUCGUGUGUGUCAAUUUCUGCAUGCCCCCAGGACAUCUUAUUGGUCAGCUGUGAAGCGUAUUUUGCGCUAUGUCUGUCUUACUGCCUCCUAUGGUUUGCUUCUUCAGCCUGCACCGUCGUGUGAGCUCUUAGCUUUCUCUGAUGCAGACUGGGCUGGUAGUCCUGAUGACAGGCGAUCCACGGGGGGAUAUGCGGUAUUCCUUGGUUCUAACUUGAUCGCCUGGAAUGCUCGUAAGCAGGCCACAGUCUCUCGCAGUAGUACUGAAGCUGAGUACAAAGCUGUUGCUAAUGCAACUGCUGAGAUCAUAUGGGUACAGUCUCUAUUGAGAGAGUUGCGUGUCUCUCCGGCUCAGCCUCCAGUUUUGUGGUGUGACAACAUCGGUGCUACAUAUCUCUCUUCUAACCCGGUCUUUCAUGCUCGGACAAAACACAUUGAGGUUGACUAUCAUUUUGUUGGGGAACAUGUUGCACAGAAGCUACUCUGUACCAAGUUUAUCUCAUCCAAGGAUCAACUUGCUGACAUCUUCACGAAGCCUCUUCCACAACCACAGUUUGUAGGCUAUAUGCGCAAUCUUAACUUGCUUUGUACUUCAGGCCAUAGUUAAGAUUGAGGGAGGGUGUUAGACUGUAUAUACGUAGCCUCUGUAAUAUACUGUAACAUUGUAUUGUACCCCUUGGGGUACCCCCUAUAUAAUGAGAGAGCCACACCCCGGUUUAGGGUGUCGAGCAGUUCCCAACAUAUUACGUUUUACAUUCCUUCAUUGAUGGCUCUGCUUGAAAAUUGCCUGCAAGCUCUACUCUGAAGGAGGCAACCAUGUCCAACUGAUACACACGACAUUUGUAGCACAAGAGCUUGGCUUAAAACUUGUCGACCAACUCAGAGGCCAUAGGACAUAGCACCCUCUUCUUUUACAUACAUACGCGCAAACUGAUGAUCAAGGUUAAGACACUUAUUUUGGGACGGAGUGAGUAUUACCUUAGUAGAACUAUAUUGCCGGAGUGAGUUUCUUUUUACAGAAAGGGCCAAGUCUAUAUGUUGAUAAACUAGCCCUUAUAAGAACAUCACUAAAAAGGGAAAAUUAUAGGCAAGUUCUUGAUGAAAUCAGCACUGUCCUCAUUCUACAUCCACAGCUUGUUGCCGCCUAUGGACCUCCAUCUCAUCGGAGCAACCUUGUUGAAACCGAGGAGCUUGAAGAAGCAGCGGUCGGGAAGUCGUGUUCCUUUUCCUACAAGGCUGCUCCGAUGAGAUCUAGAUUAUUAUAUUUCUACAACUUCAAAAAUAAGCAGUGUUCCUUUUCCUACAAGGCAGAACUCUUCGGUAAUCGGUUUCUCCCUCCCAUCACGUCCCUUUAUCGAUUUUUUUAGAGUGGAUUUUCUACUCUCGGGUGUAUUACACCCAAGUUGUCAAAAAAAUUGAAAACUGAUAUCAAACAACAUCGAAAAAAUCUAAAAUUUUGCGACAUCAAACUCUAUCGAAUGUUUGAGGUUCUUGCAAAAUUUCAUCCAAAAAUAACAUCCGAGGACCUCCCACAAAAAAAUCGCUGCUCAAAUAGUGCAUAGAACUUUGAACUGCGAUUUUGAUUUUUUGGUCAGAGCUCAAGUAUGAAAGAAUUAUGGAAGCGUCUCAAUCUCCAUAUAGGGAGACCCGCGUUGUAUAUAUUCAUAGAUGAUGGUGCGUACAAUGUGCGGCAGCCCCUGUCUAACCAUCGAGAGAAUAUACAGGAGAGGUUACGUGGGAAAGAGGGUAGAGAGAAGAGAGGACUCCUAACAACUCUAACCUCCUGGCAAAUAUUCUACGUACAUGACUCUUACGUAUAUUGUGACAGCACACAAUACCACAUAUUGCAUGUCUAACACUCCUAAUCUGAACUUCUCAAGUUAAGAUUAUGUUUGAACUCUUCAAAUUGUCUUGUAGCCAAGGCCUUUGUAAACCCAUCUGCAACUUGGUCUUUUGAAGGAAUAAAUCGAAUAUCCAACUCCUUGCUCGCAAACCUUUCUCUAACAAAAUGGUAAUCAAUCUCAAUGUGUUUAGUCCUCGCAUGAAACACAGGAUUAGCAGAAAGAUAUGUGGCACCAAGAUUGUCACACCAAAGACAUGGUGUCUGAGCAUAUAUUCCAAGUUCCUUGAGCAUGGACUUAACCCAUAUGAUCUCUACUGUUGCAUUAGCCAGUGCUUUGUACUCUGCCUCGAUACUAGAUCGUGACACUGUUGCUUGCUUCUUGGCACACCAAGAAAUAAGAUUAGGUCCAAAGAAAACUGCAAAACCACCCGUGGACCUCCUGUCAUCCAGGCAUCCUGCCCAGUCAGAAUCAGAGAAAGCACUAACAAGAGUAGAUGAGGACUUGUUGAAGGUGAGUCCAACACUUAAAGUGUUCUUUACAUAUCGCAAAAUACGCUUAGCAGCAGUCCAGUGAGCUGAGGUAGGUGCAUGAAGAAACUGACACACUUUGUUGACUGCAAAGGAAAUAUCAGGCCGUGUAAGUGUCAAGUAUUGAAGUGCACCAACCAGACUUCUAUACUUGGUGCCAUCCUCUUGACUCAAGAGUACACCCUCUGCAAGAGACAGUUUUUCUGCACUGGAAAGCUGAGUUGGGGAUGGUUUACAGCCUUGCAUCCCAGCCUUGCUCAAAAGGUCAGUUGCAUAUUUUUCCUGAGAAAGAUGAAGUCCACCUUCAUGGUUUAUCUUUACCUCAAUACCAAGAAAGAAGUGAAGAUCUCCUAGAUCCUUGAGAGCAAAAUCUAAGUGCAAAUCUUGCAACAAAGCGGUGACAGCCUUAUCAAAGGAAUUGGUAACAAUAAUAUCAUCGAUAUAAAUAAGAACAAAAAUGAUGGUAUGUGACUUAUUAUAAAUGCACAAGGAUGUGUCUGACUUGGAGGGAAUGAAACCAAGUGUUUGCAGUUUGGAGCUCAAGCGGGAAUACCAUGCUCUGGGGGCUUGCUUUAAACCAUAGAGGGAUUUGUCAAGCCGACAGAUAUGGAACGGUUUGUUUUUAUCCUCAAACCCAGGAGGUUGUUUCAUGUAAACUUCCUCUUCCAGAACACCAUGAAGGAACACAUUCUGCACAUCUAGCUGAGGAAGACUCCAGCCUCUGGACACAACAAUGGACAAAACAAGACGAAUGGUGGCAGCUUUAGCAACAUGAGUGAAAGUGUCCUCAUAGUCAAGUCCAUACCUUUGCUUAAACCCCUUAGCAACAAGCCUUGCUUUUAUCAAUAGUGCCAUCAUACCGACGUUUGAUGCGGUACUCCCACUUGCAAUCAAUGACAUUCUUGCGUGGAUGAUACAUAACAAGGUGCCAAGUAUGAUUUUCCUGAAGAGCAUGAAACUCGUCAUCCAUAGCCUGCUUCAACCGAGGAUCAACAAGAGCAUCAUUAACAUUAUGUGGUUCACCUAUGGAAUCAAAAGAAAUAGCCAAACAAUAUUUAGUUUUGUAAUUGACAGGCUGAAGGAUCCCUGUCUGAAGCCGCGUGCGGGGUGGCAUUGGUGGAGUUGUAGAAGAUCCAGGCGAGGCGGCAGGCUGUUGCAGAGGAGAUCCUGCCGAUCCCGAGGGAGCAGAUCCGGCAUGCAGUGCGGGAUCAUUUGUGGUCGAGGACGUGGAGGGAGGAGCAGAAGCGGUUGCAGAGGAUUCGUGCAGGCGAGGAGCACGGAGCGGAUCUGGCACAGAUCCCGCGUCUGGCCCGAUUGACGCAGCCGCAGGGGCUCGCCUAGAGUAGACUUGCGGGGCCGACGCGUACCGCCCGGUCGGUUGGUCCCCUAGCUCUGAUUGGUGCGUCGCGCCCAGGGUGGCCAACUCGGGGAAGGAGCACGACGUGGCGGAGAGAGGUUGGCACGGAGUGGAGUGCGGGCUGCCCAAUCCCACCAGGAGGGGCGCUGAUCCUGAGGGGGAUACGGUCGGCCCUGACGCAGUCAGGGGCUCCGAUCCCGAGGGAUAUCCCCCCCUGAUCGCUUGUGUCCUCUUUUGUACCUUCUGGUACAUUAUUUUCUGCACUGUGUUCUGUCACGUUUGUUUCUGCAACAUAAAACUCAGAUGCAGUAGGAGAGAUAUUAGUCAAAGUUGGGUAUAUACAAUUAUCAACACCCUCACACGGAACGCCGGAGAGAUGAGGGGGAAGGAGAAGAAUUUCCUUCCAGAGUAGAGCGCCGGCAUUUGAAUGAAGUUUUUCAAAGGGAAAUUGAGUUUCACCAAAAACGACGUCACGUGAGAUAUAAACACGCCUGGUGGAAACAUCUAAACACUGGACGCCCUUAUGUUGAGCACUAUACCCAAGGAAAACACAUUGCUUAGAACGAAAACUGAGCUUACAAGUGUUAUAGGGACGAAGAUUUGGCCAACAUGCACACCCAAAGACUCGAAGAGUGGUGUAAUCUGGUGUGACAUGAAGGAGGCGUUCAGUGGGGGUUUCAUUGAAGAUAGUACGACUGGGCCACAUGUUAAUGAGAUGUACGACAGUGAGAAAAGCUUCGUCCCAAAAUUUGAGUGGCAUAGAAGCAGAAGCUAAAAUAGUGAGACCUACUUCAACAAUGUGUCUAUGCUUACGUUCAGCGGAACCAUUUUUUUGGUGAGCAUGUGGACAAGAGACAUGGUGAGAGAUACCUAUCUUCUAAAAGAAAGAAUACAAUUUCUCAUACUCACCAUCCCAAUCUGGUUGCACAGAAAUUAUUUUGCUAUCAAAUUUACGUUCAACAAGGGCUUGGAAAUUGUGGAAAACUUGAAACACAUCAGCACGUUUCUUAAGAAGAUAUAUCCACGUAUACUUGCUAUAGUCAUCAAUGAAGCUCACAUAAUAAGAAUAUCUACCAACAGAGGUGGGGGCAGGACCCCAGACAUCAGAAAAAAUAAGUUGCAAUGGCUUAGUAGACAUACUAGUAGACACAGGAUAGGGUAAUUGAUGACUUUCUGCUCUUUGACAUGAAUCACAAACGGUUUCUAAAUUUCUCUCACCAACAACUGGGAGGUUAUUUCUACUAAGAAUCUGAUGAACAGUUAAAAAGGAUGGGUGACCUAAGCGAUUGUGCCACCUUUCAGCAGAAAGCUUGAUGGCACCAUACACUUGUUUACUGUACUGGUAAUGCUUGGGAAGUAGAGCAUAGAGACCUUCGACACAAACACCCCUAUGGAGAAUUUCCUUCGUGACCUGAUCCUUGAUCAAAAAGAAGAAUGGGUGAAAUUCUAGAAACACAUUAUUGUCAAGAGCAAUACGAUGGACAGAUAGCAAAGUUUUGGAAGCAUUAGGAACAUACAAGAUAUCAUUGAGUUCAAGAUUUUUGUGUGGGGUUUUGAUAAAAGAUUGACCAACAUGACUUAUCUCCAUACCUGCAUCGUUUGUUGCAAUGUAGACUUGAUCAUGGCCAUGGUAUUUUUCAUGCAUUGUCAACUUCUCCAGUUCUCUAGUGAUGUGAUUUGUGGCACCUGUGUCCAUAUACCAGUUGGUAUCUACUCCAUAUGACAUGUCAGCUGCAGCUGCAAUUUUCUUUUUUCUGGGCAUUGUUGUCAUCGGCAUAGCGCCAAUCACAAUAUUUUGCAAUAUGAUUUGUUUUCUUGCAAAUUUGGCACUUGUUUUCAUAACCUUCAUACCCUUGGAAGUUGCUCCCCCGAUUGUUGUUGCCAGGGAAGGGGGGGGGGCGCCGAUUGUUGUUGUUGCCACCACCGUAGUUGUUCUGAUGGUAGUGGCCACCACCACCACCACCACCACCUUGAUAGCCCCCACCAUUGUUCUGUUGGAAGCCAUAACCCCCGCCAGAACUAGGGUUAGGGUUUUGGUAGCCACCGCCACCUCCUGUGCCGUAGCCGCCGCCAGCGCCGUGGCCGCUGCCACCACCAGCGCUGUAGCCGCCGCCGCUGCUUGUGCCAUAGUCGCCACCGCUACCUGGGCCAUAGCCGCCGCCGCUGCGAGGGCCACCAGAACCCCCGCCCUUGCGGUAGCCACCCUUGCCACCACCACCACAGCCGUGCAAGGCAGCGUUGGCGGCCGACUUGAAACUGGUGGUGCCAUGAAACAUCUCAACCCGCUGCUCAUAGUUGGCCACGAGAUAGAAAAGGCCGUCGACGGUGAUGGGCUCGGUGCAGACAUCCAGCACGGAGAGAUGGGUUGAUAGUCCAUGUCGAGGCUGGCGAUAAUGAAGGAGAUGAGCUCGCCGUCCCCGAGUGGUUUGUCCGCCGCCGUGAGCUCAUCGGAGAGGGGGAGCAUAUGGCCGAAGUACUCUGUGGCCGACAGGGAGCCCUUCUGGGCGUUCGUGGGCACGACGCGAAGAUUGUUGGCACAGGAUAGCGACACCGCAAAGAACAUGGUGGCCAAGCACUACAAAAAAAGACACAUCCGUGACAUUUUGGGUCGAACGAAAAUCUUUUCUGUCAUACUUAUGACACUUUUAUGACGAUAAUUGUGACAAAACCCAGUAUCAUCAUAGGUGUGGUGGGGUCCUACUUCUAUGACAAAAACUCAUGACAGAAAAUGGGCUUUUCGUCCUGGGUGGGCCGGAGACGCAGCUGCAUGACAUUCUUUGGGUCGUCCAUGACAGAAAAAACCGUGGUAGAAGCGAGGGCGAGGAAAAUAUCGGGGUGUUCCCGGUUACGGUGGGUGGUCGGGGCCGAGCGAUGCGCGUUUCUCUCGUACACACACGCGCGUGGGUGCGAGGCGUUGGGCUCUAACUGAACCCGAGCGAGGCGUUGGGCUCUAACUGAACCCAAGCGAUUGCACUGCAGGCUACGCGUUACUGAACCCGAGCGGUCGAUCGAUGGCUGUUAACUGAACCCGACCGAGCGAUUCCUUCGCUACUGCUGCUAACUGAAGCCGAUCGAUGCUGCCUCUGGAUGAACAGUGAGCGUUGCUGGGGGGGUUUGGAUGAACAGUUCCCGGUGGGGGUGGAUGAACAGGACCCUGUGGUGUUGCCUCUGGAUGAACAGGACCCCGAUCGAUCGAGCCGGUUGGGGCUGGAUGAACAGGACCCCGUGGAGGGCAGGAUGAACAGGACCACCCCGUGGAGGGCAGGAUGAACAGUAGACGGUGGAGGGCUGGAUGAACAGUAGACCGUGGAGGGGUGGUUGAACAGGAGCCCGUGGAGAAGGCUGGUUGAACAGUAGCCGGUGGAGUAGCGCGCGGUGGAGGCUGGAUGAACAGGAGCCCGUGGAUGAACAGUCGCAGGUGGAGGCUGGAGGAGGUCGACGGUGGAUGAAAAACAGUAGCCCGUGGAGGCCGGAGGGGGUCGACGGUGGAGAUGNNNNNNNNNNNNNNNNNNNNNNNNNNNNNNNNNNNNNNNNNNNNNNNNNNNNNNNNNNNNNNNNNNNNNNNNNNNNNNNNNNNNNNNNNNNNNNNNNNNNNNNNNNNNNNNNNNNNNNNNNNNNNNNNNNNNNNNNNNNNNNNNNNNNNNNNNNNNNNNNNNNNNNNNNNNNNNNNNNNNNNNNNNNNNNNNNNNNNNNNNNNNNNNNNNNNNNNNNNNNNNNNNNNNNNNNNNNNNNNNNNNNNNNNNNNNNNNNNNNNNNNNNNNNNNNNNNNNNNNNNNNNNNNNNNNNNNNNNNNNNNNNNNNNNNNNNNNNNNNNNNNNNNNNNNNNNNNNNNNNNNNNNNNNNNNNNNNNNNNNNNNNNNNNNNNNNNNNNNNNNNNNNNNNNNNNNNNNNNNNNNNNNNUGGAGUCCCGUUUUGCGGUACGCCACACCCCUCCCGAUGAACAGGACCCCCGUUUCGACCGUAGCGCUCCAACACAAGUCCGUUUCCUCCGUUUUGCGGUACGCCACACCCCUCCCGAUCAACAGGACCCCCGUUUCGACCGUAGGAGGUCCGUUUCCUCCGUUUUGUGGUACGCCAGACCCCUCCCGAUGAACAGGAUCCCGUUUCGAACAUGGCCGGUCGAACACAAGGCCGUUUCCUCCAUUCCGCGGUACGCCAAGCCUCGUUUCCAUCGGCUGUUCCGUCCAAGCCCUCCCGAUGAACACGACGACGCAUUCCGUUCCGACCCAGCCGGUUGGCUCCCCAUGAACACGACGACGACGCUGUUUCUCCGUUCCGACCCAGCCAUGUACACGACCCCUGGCCGUACGUACGCGCGAGUAGGCGUUCGAGACCCCGCUCGUAUGUACGUACGUGGCCGUAUUUACUUUCUUGCACCCUGGCCGCUGUACGUACGUGUACAUGCUACGUGCGCGCCUCUACUACGACACGUGUGUGCCUCUACAUCGACCAGUAUGCACGUACACGUUCGCGACCAGAAUGACAACGCUACGUACGCUUCGACCAGGUGGGUCCCGACUGUCAGGCAGUUCCUUGUGUGCGAAGAUGUAGCUCGUGGGUCCCAGCAGUCAGGGGGGCGAAUCGUUUUUUUUUGCCCGGACGCACUUCCUUGCGUGCGAAGAUGUAGCUGGUGGGUCCCAGCAGUCAGGGGGAAACAUUUUUUUCGCGAAAAACGGUGGCCCGUCCGGUGGGUCCCCGCUGUCAGGUGGAGGAAUAUUUAUUUUGCGCGUAAUAAGGAGGCACUUCCUUGCUGCGGCCGUGGACCCAGCUGUCAGCCUCUCCAUGUACUCUUCCGAUGGAAGUCGGUCGUUGACCACAUUGACCACGCCGCGCCGAGUGCACCAAGGCGGUGGACGAUGGCGAGGCCUAGGAAGGGGACGACGCGGAGCCAGGGAGGAUGCGGCAGUGGAAGCACACGCGAAGAGGAGUACGAGGGUUCACUGGUUCGGCUGCGGUGUGAGGCUGCCGUCGCCGCAGGGCCUGGUCAGCAGUGGGAAUAGUAGGGGGCGGUGAGGCCUCCGCGGCAGCACAGCCGGCCACGGGAGGCAGGAGCAUGCGGCACGACCGGCGCUGCUUUUGGCGGCUGGAGCAAGAAGACCAGAGGUUGAAGAAGCACAACGGCCGUUGGAUGGACAUCGUACGGUCACUAGAGCUAGAAUCAUUCAUAUUGACUAAGUUGACAAAGCACUCCUCCCCGUCAACUUAGUAGGUGCACAAGUCAGCCACCCACCAAGGUGGGUCCCAACUAGCAGGGGGAGUAUUCAAUUUUUUGUGCGUAAUAAGGCGACACUUCCGGUGGGUCCAAGCUGACAGCGGGGGGAACGUUUUUUUCGUGAAAUACGGUGGCCCGUCCAGUGGGUCCCAGCAGUCAGGGGGGAAACUUUUUUUGCCAAAUACAUUGGUCCGUCCGGUGGGUCCCUGUUGUCAGGUGGAGGAAUAAUUAUUUUCCGCGUAAUAAGGAGGCACUUCCUUGCGGCUGCCGUGGACCCAGCUGUCAGCCUCUCCACGUACAAUACUCUUCUGAUGGAAGUCGUUCCUGGACCACGUUGACCACGCUGUGCCGAGAGCACCAGGGCGGUAGACGACGGCGAGGCCUAGGAAGGGGACAACGCGGAGCCGGGGAAGAUGCGGCAGUGGAUGCCCACGCGUAGAGGAGUAUGAGGGUUCACUGGUUCGCUGCGGUGUGAGGCUGCCGUCGCCGCAGAAUAACAGGGGGUGUGGGUGAGUACAGGGAUGGCCUGGCCAGUGGUGGGAGUAGUAGGGGGCGGUGAGGCCUCGGCCGCAUCGCAGCCGGCCACGGGAGGCAGGAGCACGAGGCACGACCGACGCUGGUUUGGGCGGCUGGAGCAAGAAGACCAAAGGUUGAAGAAGCACUACAGCCGUUGGAUGGACAUCGUACGGUCACUGGAGCUAGAAUCGUGCAUAUUGACUAAGUUGAUAAAACCCUCCGUCCCCGUCAACUUAGUAGGCCCACAAGUCAGCCUGCCACUAUACUGGGUCCCAGCUAGCAGGGGGAGUAUUCAUUUUUUGCGCGUAAUAAGGACACACUUCCUUGCGUGCGAAGCUAUAGCUAGUGGGUCCAAGCUGUCAGCGGCGGUAACGUUUUUUUCGCGAAAUACAGAGGCCCUUUCGGUGGGUCCCAGAUGUCAGGUGGAGGAAUCAUUAUUUUGCGCGUAAUAAGGAGGCAUUUCCUUGCGUGCGGCCGUGGACCCAGCUGUCAGCCUCUCCAUGUACAGUCCACUUCAGAUGCAUGCCGGUCGUUGACCAUGUUGACCAGGCCGGGCCGAGAGCACCAGGGCGGUGGACGACGGCGAGGCCUAGGAAGGGAACGACACGGAGGCAGGGAAGACUCGGCAGUUGUUUCCCACGCGGAGGGGAGUACGACUGUACGAGGGUUUACUGGUUCGUGUGCCGUCGCCGGAGAAUAACAGCAGGUAUGGGUGAGUAGAGGGAUGACUAGGCCAGCGGUGGGAGUACGGUGAGGCGGUGAGGCCUGCGCGGCAGCACAGCCGGCCGCGGGGAGGAGGGAGCAGGCAGUCCCGCUGGCGCUUGUUUGAGCGGCUGGAGCAGGAAGAACAGAGAUUGAAGAAGCACGACGGCUGUUGGAUGGACAUCCAACAGUCACUGCUUGUGCGUCAACCUUUUUUUUAGGAAAGCCUCAAAUCUGUAGAAAACAGCAUACAUCGCAUCUGCCAUUAUUUCUAAUAAUUUACAGCCCAUUUGCUAAUUCUUAAGGUUUUUUUUGGAGCCCAUAUUCUUUUUCAUAGCAUUACAGCCCAUAUUGUGGCCACGGUUAAAAAAUUAUACGAAAUGUUGCAUAUUUCGGUGCGGUCCGAACUGUUUUAAUCCCGAAAUUUCGAGUCACAUUCAAACUGAUUUUAAAAAUAAAUGUCUAUCAAUAUAAAAUCCAACAAAUUGUCCACGCAUAAAAAAUAAUGCAAUUCAAAAUCUUGAAAUGAAAAAAAGAAAUUUGAAAGUAAUCGCCGGUUUGAUGUGUUUUAAAAAUGUACAACCCAUUUCUCAUUACUGAUAGGCCAUUUUCUCGUCCAGCCGAAUGAAACUCUCCUCGUCUUGAAAGAUUUGCAGCCCAACAGGCCUGACAAAGCGACUUACUUGGCAAAUGACAAAAAAAACUGGGCUAGCCAUUUUCAGAAAGAAAAAAAAACUAGGCUGGUCUGUGGUAAACAUAAAAGAGAAGGCUGUCUAGACAGGCCAGAGUGCCCCGCACAACCCAGUUGACACCCUGCUUCCGUCUCAAAAACAAAUUAGAUAAAUGCCACAACAAAUAUGGCGAUUCAUAAAAAUACCACUGCAAUUUCCAAACUUUGAAAAAUGCCACUGCAAUUUUUGCAAACUUUGGAAAACGCCACUGCAAUUUGCAAACUUUGAAAAACGCCACUCUAGACUUCGAAAAAUGCCACUGGAAAUGGCAUGAAAUGGCAUUUUUCAAAGUUUGGAAAUUGCAGUGGCAUUUCUCAGAAACACCAGAUUUGGAGUGGCAUUUAUCAAAUUAACCCAAAACAAAAAUAACUGGGCGAGCUGCUGGGUCUCUGGUGUCAGCCGCUCGUUGUGCAACUCUCUCGUUUAUUGACUACGUUGACAAUGGCAUGGGACCCAGAUGUCAGAAAUCCAUUAGGAGGAGCCAUUUUUUUUUGGAUUGAAAUAAGGAGGCACUUGCUUGCGUACUGCCAUGACCUUGGCGGGUCCCUGCUGUCAUCCUCUCCACAUACAAUCAUCUCCUGAUUGCGUACGCGUCAACUUGGUAGGCCCACAAGUCAGCCUCUAAACCCGUGGAGGACAAAUACAACCCAUAAAAAAAUAACAGCCCAUUCCAUACGUUCAAACGGAAAGUUCAACAUUCAGAGCAAAGUAACAGGUCUGAUCCACAUAUAGAGUACUGAACUUCCACGUUGACAACCAUCAUAGCCAAGUUAACUAUCUACUCCCACUAAUACUCUAGUAGCGUACAAGUAUUAACUUACUCUUAGCUAACUAGACGAUGUCGGACGCCAUCUACGGUACACGCUAAACGCCGGCACCGGCGUCCUCCGCCUCGCCUCGGACUUGCCAGAGGUGCGAUAGGGCGCGUUGCUCGCGCGCGUUGGCCCUUUCCAUGCCGGCGUGGUCCACCGAAGCUUCGGCUUCUAAGCGGGAAACCCACUUGACGAGCUGGUAGUAAAAAUCAGCGUCGCGAACGCGUGCGUGCCCGACAGCCUCCAGGGCUAUUUGGCGGGCGCCGGCCUCCACGUAGUCGGCCCAGGUGCGGGCGCUCUGCUCACGACUCAGAGUGUUGGUGCGCUGCUGCUCCAUGUCCCGCUGGCGGCGCAAAUCGGUGAUACGCUGCUCCUCCGCCAAGCGGUCGCGCUCCAACAACUCCUGCUCCUCCGCCAGGCGGUCGCGCUCCAACAUGUCCUCGAUCUCUGCAUUGCCAUCUAAAGACCGAUAGAAUGCCUCCUCCCUCCGUCCGCCUUUCGGUGAAAAACCGAACACUAGUUUCGGCGGUGACCGCCUCUGGCCUCGCCUAUCGCGGACGGGCGGGGGCAUGGAGGACGUGGCGAGAGCGAGGAUAAGUGGCGAGCGACGUCUGGCCGGUGGGGGCUUAUGAGGAUAGGGCGAGUUUGGUCACGGUGCCACCAUAGAAGGCCGGGAAACAGUACUUAUAGGCGGAAGGUAGCGCGACGGUCAUCGGAAUUCAAUGCAUAAUUAAGCAGGCAUGGUUUAGCGCGCCAGCUUGCCGUGGAAAACUAGAGAUCCGUGCUGUCCCGUCCCGUCCGUGCUGGGUCGCACGCCGGCAUGACGGUCAAACGAGUGCACUCGAAUCAUCUCCCUCGUCAAUAAUGGUUCCAUGGAUUUAAAAGGUCCGCAACAAUUAAAGCGCAUCUUUUUUUGCAUCAGUUAGCUGCCUUAAUUACGGCCGGCUGCAUGGAGGCACUCAAAAUCGCUCGCAGCCAGUACGCGGAGCAGCAUGCAACGAGUCACAGCCGAGGGCAUUAGUUGAUGAACUUUAGCUGGGAGAUAAGGCAUUUGCGAACAUUUUCGCUGGCAGUUUCUUCAUAUUUGCAUGGCAUUUUCUUCAGAGCAGCUUGUCAGUUUCUUCAAAGGUAGGCAUUUUAAUUCAAAAAACUGCCACUUUGGAUCUUGCGUCGCAACUAAAACAGCCAGGAGCAAAUUAGUAGGCUAGCUAGCGAUCGACCAGUAACUUGUAAACACUGAGAGAAUAGAUAUAAGGAAUUGUUAAUGCAUCUCAAUGAUUCACAGAUCAUAUACAAUAUGUAGCUCCAAAAGCAAAGAUCAGCCACAACUAAAACCAACUAGUAUGAUUCCCAUACAUAAGAUCAACAUGUUAAUGCAUCUCAAUGAUUCACAGAUCAUAUACAAAUAUGUAGCUCCAAAAGCAAAGAUCUAGAAAAAACAUAUGUUCUUCCUACUAACAUGGAUGCUUCUCUUGGCCAACAUUCAGUACAGACUGAAAGAUAAUUUUUUUUGUGAACUCUAUAAUUCCUCUUGCAAACGUAAGUGGUUUCACCAACAGCUGGAACCAUGAGAAUGAACCACACAUGAUGGAGGAACAUCCACUGCAAUAUGAUUUGGUCUUCUCUUGAUCACACGACGAGACUAUUUUCGGAAUACAAACUUUAACUUAGGAAAAAUGAUGCCCAUUGUAUAAUCAGACCAAAGCAAUGAAGCACCUAGUGUUGGCCAAUAAAUAGUACAGUACUACUUUUCUGCAGUCCAUGAAGUGACUAUCCAAUCUUUCUGUGUCUAUUUUCAAAUGGCACUACAUGCAGUGACUAUACUAUUCUCUUGUGCAGUUCAACCAAAAUUGCGGUCACUUUGUGUGUUUGCCAAAUAGCAACGGGCAGACAUCUCUGUCUGCACAAAUAUCAAGUAGCUAGUAAACAUAUACCCCACCUUGUAUUUUUGGUUUAAACAUGUCUCUUCCGCUUAGCAUCUGUCAUGUUUUGCACGGGACAAUUUGAUACAGUCAUGUUUUGCCCUGGACAAUUUCAUACUGAAUUGAUUUGCUUGUUCAGAGCAGAAAUAUAGUGCCUAUUCUUCAUCAAACCAAGGAUAUCCAUGUUCGCAGUGAUGGAAGAGGUGAAAUCGAUACAACCGAAAUUGAGCAUCCGAUCAUUGAAUCCUGUCCUGCACCUCCAAUGUAGGUCCACCCUGCCAAUAAGUUCACAUGCAAACCACUAGUAUUACUAUCUAAUGAUAGUACAAAAAGACUAGCAAGAUAGUAGCAAACCAUGUACCUUCUUAAUGAACAGCUCAUAGUGCCACCAAUUGGAUAUAAAGGUUUGGAAGAAAACAUGCUCCUAAUGUUGAACCAGUUGGACUUUUUGUGCAGUUCCACUAAAAUCGAGCAUCCCUGUUUGCAUAGAUAUUGAAAGUGUGAUUACUAUAAAAGUGGCACUAGUUGAAGCAUAGACUCACAAAUAUAAGCAUUCCAAUUUCUUAAUGGAAAAAGGUAGCAAGACUGUCGUGGGUUUGUAACGGCAGAUGUCCUAGCGAAAGGAUUAGUCAUGGAGCCAUCGCAAUGGGUUAGCUUGAAGGGGUUAAAGCGGACAAGGGAUGCAAGAGAGUUUUAUACUAGUUCGGCCCCUUCGAGGAAGGUAAAAGCCUAUGUCUAGUUGUGAUGGAAUUGAUGGGGUUUCGAUGACAGCGAAUACGCUUUGCCUGAGUCUCGAGUUGUUGUUUGUUGUCCUUGAACCGCCGCCGGGUCGUGCCUUUAUAUACACAGGUCGACGCCCGCUGGCUUACAGAGUCCCGAUGCCGGUUUAUAACCAUACCGGCUUGGUCUCUACUUUGUCAUACCUUACAAUACAAGUCAUGUACUACAUGGCGGUUUAUAGCUAUAGGCCUUAAUCUACCUUUGGGCCUUGGGCCUUCGAGUCUCUAUAGUAAACCGCUUUAUUCCUUGUCUUCAUGGGCUUUUAAGUAUAAACAAUCCAUUAUGGGAAUAACCCGGCUUCCUUGGCCGGUUUACACCUAGUAGUAAUAUCCCCAACAUUAGGCCCCAGAUUGAUUUGAACUGGUUCAUGUCAAUCUCCAAAACCUUGAGAAAAUUUCUUCUUCCAUAUCUUCGCAUAAAUCUUGUAAACCACCAUGACGUCAUCAUCCAGAAUCAUAAUAAACUGCCAUGACGUCAUCAUCCAGAAUCAUAAUAAACCGCCAUGACGUCAUUUGUUAUUUUAAAUGGUAUAUUCCUCACCUUCAUUAAUGAGCCUCCGACAAUCGAGGCGACAAAUCUGUCACAUAUCCAUUUGUUUGGCUCCUCAAUUCUUGCGCUUGACCCUUAUCCUUUCGUCUUUAUAAAUACGGCCGAGGGUCCUUUCCAUUUCCCCCCUUUCUCUUCGUCUCCUUCUUCUUCCUCGCGACGUCUCAGAACCCGAGCUCUGCCGCCGCCGUCGACCUUCGUAUCUGCAUCAACCAAGGCCACUGCAUCAACCUAAUCGAACCAGAGCAACGCGGCGCUCCUCCGCUGUUCCGCAGCACCGGUGAGUUCAUUUCUUUUUCAACCUCAGAUCUGCAUUAGGGUUCCGCCGUUCGUCGGUGUUCUUCCCUGUUCGUCUUCUUUCUGUUCUUAGAUGUCAUAACUUGAUUUGCAACUGAUAGUAGAAGUAGGCGAUGAUAGUCUAGCGUCCUUUACCAACCUCAGAAAACACCUUUUACUGCCUGAGAUCCAAUCAAACAAACGUGUUCUUCCACUACCACCAUUUUAGGUUAAAUUUAUUUCCUCCUUUUAGAACUGUGGCAAAUCCAAAUUUAUACCACCGAUCUGUGAAAUCUAUUUGCGCCAUACUUAGAAAUUUUUGUAAAUCUGUAGCCUCUAUACCAUUGUGGGCGGUUUAUCCUUUAAACUUUGAUAACUCAUCAUAUACCCUUAGCCCACUGUUAAACCGCCAACCUGCUUUAAAUGCUGAAAUCCGGUUUAGUACACCCAAAUGCUUGAAAUAUCAUCGUCUUCCAUCAUUGCACCGAUUUGUAAGUUGUAACCAUGAACUUUAACCCGGAUACCGUGCUUUUUUCCAGCUUGUCACCAGAAAUGGCCAAACAAUUCUGUUCCUGUAAUUGGGUUCCUUCUCGGGUUACGGAAGCGCAGCUGGCUGGUUGUGUUGCAACGGGCGCUUUAGCAAAUAAGGACACUAUGCAUUGGCGAGUCCCCGGUCCAGAAUUUCCUCCUGAACCCCAAGACGGAGAAGUUAUCGUAUUUACUGAUCACCUGAGCCGAGGCUUCACUCCUCCCGGAUCAAAAUUUUUACGUGAGGUGCUCGCCGACUUUCAAAUCCAUCCCCAAGAUAUCGGUCCAAACUCCAUAUCCAAUAUUUGUGACUGGCAAGUAUUCUGUGAAGUGUACCUGCAAGAGGAGCCUACUGUUGAUCUGUUCCGGGAUUUCUUUUAUCUAAACCGCCGUACUAAGUUUACGGAUGGCCCCAAUACUGAACUAGGCGGGGUUUCAAUUCAGAAGAGGAGAGAUGUUGAUUUCCCUCAUGCCAAGCUUCAUAGUCAUCCUAAGGACUGGAAUCAGACUUGGUUCUACUGCCGCAACACAGCCCCAGCCAAUGAAAAUCCUUUGCCAGGUUACCGUCCACAUCGGCUUACCCAAGCUCAUCCCUUUCCUCAACGGUUGACCGCCCAGGAGCGAGCAAAAUAUGCCCCUCAACUGGCAAAGCUCAGAGCCUUUGUUGCAAAUGGGCUGACAGGCGUGGAUUUUGUCUGAUGCUGGGUUUCAUGGAGCGUUUUACCUUUAAGCCAGCGGCCCGGUUUAAUGUGUGAAUACACAGGGGAUCUGAAAGACCCGCAACGCCAUAUUGACAUCCAGCUGACUGAUGAUGAAGUCACCGAAGCUAUUAAAAAGAUGCUUAAUGAGCCAAUAGAUGUAUGCAGCAAAACCGGGCUCAGUCCUUUCUAUGCUGCCAAUAAACCGCCAAAGGUAUAAUCUACCGUAUUUCUGCCUUUAUCCAUCCUUUGUUAAAUUUCUCCUUUGAUGACUUACUAUUUGUCUAUGCAGGCCGACGAUCCAUUCUGGAAGAAAAAAUCACAAGAUAAACCGGUAAAGAAUCCUCGGCUUAAGACCAAGGCUUCAAAAAAGCCUAUGAAAAGAAGGAACGUUGAACCGUCCGAGCCCAUUAUUGAUGAUGAUCUGGAUAUUCCGGAUUCAGAGGUAGAACUUGACUAUCUCGGUUCAUUUUUUAUACACCUUAUUGACAAUGAUCAUUAUCAGGAUGAAGCGGAAGCCAGCCAUGCUGAUGAGGUAACUAUUCUUUCUUCUGAUUCUGAUCCUGUGCCAGUACCAAGAAUCCGUUGAGCCAUUUAGAAAGUAAAAUUUUCAUGCCCUCUUUCUUAUUUGGACCCGCACUUUCUUUUAAAGACGCAUCAGCAUGAAGCUCGCCGCACAACUCGACAUAGUGGCCAAGUGGUGACCUCCUCCGGUUUACCAAAUUCGCUGGUUUGCAAAUGCCGCCAAGAGGUUGCUUAUACUCCUGACACCCUUUGUCACGACCAGAUUUUCGGGAUAUCAAUUUCCCAGAAAACGGCCUUUGUGCUCACCAGCCCCAGGAUUACUGUUAGCUCAUGAGACACUAACUUGAUACAAGAAUUCCAAGCAAGGUAAAAAAAUAUGUAGUACAAGACCAUGGUGGCCUAGGAGUACAACACUGGGUUUCUAGUGGUUGAUGGCGGAAGCGGUUUGAGGUACACCUGCGUCUAUGGGACUCCAUCUCCCACAAGAACAGCUGACCAGGAUAACUCCUAUCUUCGCGAGGCUGCUAUCGUCAGAAUGCAGGUUCUGGGGCUGUCGUCGCGAUGCUUAUCUCCAGGCAAGGAAUCUGGCCAAGACAAUAGCCAGGGACAAGCCAGUGAGUACGUUUGAAUGUACUCGCAAACAUUGAGAACACGAGUAUAACAUACUAAGAGGUAAUCAUACUCCGAAACAUUUUUAUGAUGAUAAGUCUGCCAUGAAUUUAAUGAAAAAAAAUCUGCGAUGCACGUGCGCAGAGAAAAUAUCGACAUGCAAUACGGAGGUAAAAGAAAUGCACUGAGCGAGUGUCUAAAAUGACUCCUCGAGAGGUUGCAAAUAACAUAACAAUGCCGCAGUCGGGCGUCUGAGCGACACCACAGAAAGGGCUUAUAAAAGAUAAAUAAACAACAAGCAUGCCGCAGUCGGGCGUCUGAGCGACACCACAUAAAGGGCUUAUAAAAGAUAAAUAAACAACAAGCAUGCCGCAGUCGGGCGUCUGAGCGACACCACAUAAAGGGCUUAUAAAAGAAUAAUCACAGUGAAUAUCCAGGAGGUAGAACCAUCCCAGGGAUACUCAAUAAAGUACAUAAUGUAAAUGGUUGGUCCAUAAUAACAAUAAUAAUAAAACAUGAUCCUCAGAUGUCACAGGUCAUAAACAAAAAUCUAGUUUAGCCGUUUCUCCAUCCGAAGACCGUCACUGAGUUCUAGCUAAUUCGUUCUCCAUCCGAAGACCGUCACUGAGUUCUAGCUAAUUCGUUCUCCAUCCGAAGACCGUCACUGAGUUCUAGCUAAUUCGUUCUCCACCCGAAAACCGUUACUAUGAUCUAUCUCAGACUGAAGUCCUUACUCAUGAACAUGGCUAUCCAAAUGGAUAUGACCUCUACAGAGGGUGUACUUUCCACCCACGAGUAACGGAUUUAUUUAGUCCUUCAGGACUAAUCCCGUCUACGGCCUUUUAAUUGAAAACACGCCUGACCUGCACACACCAGCUUAACUUACCGGUGUCUGGAAUCACCCACGACACCCGUCAAGCAAACUCUAAGUGGGGAGGCUACAACCUCGACGUAGCAUGGGAUCAAAUUUAUAUACGCGCGCUCUAAGGGGUGCCCCCCUCUCGGUCCCAACCGGAAACACCCAUGCCCCCGGACCAGGUGGCAUGCCUACCGGAUGCACCCGGUAUCUUCCACCAUGGCCUCUCUGUACGGUGUGUGCUUUGGUAAGGGGUUGACAACUUACUGAACCAUACCCCGUCUGCGAUAGGGACAAGUGGCAGUACAAACAAUUUGGGAAGAUACUGAUCAAGACUCGACCUACGACCGACUCAGGUGGUCCAAGUAUUCUCCGAAUGACCAGCCUAACCAACAAUGUUACCACUAAAGGAAUAAAUCACCACUCAUCAAGCCUCACCAUGCCAUACCGGACAUACUCGUCUCGAUGAGGAACUAGGGACAAGCUCGUGCCUACCCAAGACCACGACUUUCCCGGCUUCCUUCUGGUAUGCAUGAGGAGCUCACGAGGAUGAUCCAAAACACUAGCGUAUCCAUUGCUGACCACAAAAUAUCUCCAAAAAAAGCACUCAUGCACGAGACUUUAUCGUUACAUAAAGUUAACGCAUACUCCAAGUCAAACGGUGUUGUAAUCGUAUCAGAACACCACAACAAAAUAUUAUGCCAGAGUUCAGAAAUGCUUGCCUUCAAGAGUAUGCAAAGGAUGCACUUUUUGAAAGCCUUCCCUCUCCCCAAAAUCCUAUUUUGAGAAAUAUUCAAAUAACAAUUAUUUCAAACAUAGUAUAAGAAGUUGUCUCAAAUAUUUUUGAAAUAAAUCUUAAAAUGAACUAGACGAAAUUUGAGAGAGGUAGGAAAAGGAAUCAACUCAUUUGGAGUUUUAUUUUAAAAGUUAUAGCCAGUCAAAGCUUGGUCAAAUCUCUGUUUUUAAAUAAAACCAGAAAAGAAAAACGUUCGGGAGAGAAUACGCUUUCGCAGCAGAGGAGACGUACUCGGGACUUAUGCGCCUUCACUUAAAACAGAGAAGACGGCGCGCGGGUCACUGACAGUGGGUCCAGAGGGCCCACUGGUCAGGUUUGACCAUUCUUCCCUCUCCCUCCUCUUCUCUGUCCGACGGGAGCGGGACUCCGGCGAUCGCCGUCGACGAACGGCAGCUCCUCACGGGCAUCCGAGGGCGGGGAUGGAACGGCCAGACUGGGGUGGUCCUCUUGGUGGUAGAUGGGUCGCCGGAGGUGGAAGGAGUCGCCGGCGGCGAGCUCCGCGGCGGAGGGGGCUACGGGUGAGAAGUGCGAUUUGGGCUCUGGUGGUCUCCGAUUGAGGUUGGGUUGCUGGGCAGCUCCGCAAGGACAAGGGGAAGCUACUGGUGGUGUCGGUUGGGCGAGAGAGUGGCUGGCUGCGAUGUAUUUCAUCGGAGUUCGGCGGCGGCCGAACCGGCCGGAGUUGGGGAAGAUGGCCCUGAUCGGUCAAUCUACGGCUAGGGGAGAACCAGGGGAAAGGUAUGAGGUCGCUUGAGGUCUUGCAUGAGCUCGGGGGUCCCUUAAAUAGGCGCUCGGGAUUGGGCCGCGGCGGCUGAGGAUAAGAUCGCCGGCGACAGCCGUGCUGUAGCUGCAGGGCGGCGUGGCGGCGACGAGCGCGUGCCGACGAGCUUCGGGAUAAGACUGAGCUGUUCACGGGGGCAGCUGGCGCGCUGGGGUGGCUUGGGCGGCGCCGUCCAUGUCAGAGGUUCGCUGCCGACGCCGGCAUGCCGCCAAGAGCUCUGCCAGCGGCGCUGCAGGGCGCCAGAGGUGGCGUGGAGAGUGGGCGAGCUAGUGCGCGGUUCAGCGGGUGAGAAGGGGCCAGGGACGGGUCGCGUCGAGUGUGGCAGUGCGGCGCGGCGGCUCAGUGCGCGCGCGUGCAAAACGUGCGCUCUGGGCGUGCCCAGAGCACGCACGGAACCUGCUCGACGAAAUGCCAGGGCGGCCUAGCGCGCGAUGGUGGAGCUGGCAAUUGACAGGACUAGGCUAAAGAUAGCUGGGAGUUCAGUGGACAUGGUUGUUGGGUCAUGGGAGCAAGAUCACAGUGCAAACUAGGAAACAUGCCCAAAAUUGACUGUGCACCCCAGGUGUUCGACAGAAUGCCAAAAGCAUCUAGGCAACUCUUGGAGUGGCCAAAAUCUCCAGAUCAGGGUCUCUUUAGGUGUGGAUGAUGAAGGCAAGAUCAUAUGGGCAAAACCAGAAACUUGUUAGUGCAAGUUUUGCAAAACCAUAGUUUUGGACAGAAAGAAAAAGGGUUUAUAGCAUGCACUUAAAAACCUCCAAUGAGUCCACUCUCCUGGACUUAAGGGUUUUGAAGGAAGGGUUAAAAGCAGGAAAAAGGUCAUGGGCAUUGAAGCAAAAUAAAAUAGAGUUGCUGUAGAAACCACCAAAUUGGGCCAGAAUGAAAAAGAGGGUGAUUCACUCAAAUUUUUCAAAGAACAUCACUGGGUUUUUGCAUGAAGAUGAAUUGUAUGCAUCCACUGACAUCUCCAAACACUUGGAAGGAUUUUUAAAGAGAUAUUUAAAUGGGUUGUAGUGCAAAAGUGCCCACUGGACCAGAUUGGAAAAGUUGGUGUAGAGCUCAAAAUCUCCAAUGGCCAACAGAUAUUUUUGCAUAAGAGUGAUGUGGAAACAUCACAUGACAUCCCUAAAUUUUGGUGGAAUAUUUAAAGGCAUUUGUCAAAUGGUUGCAGUGCAAAACAGGCUCUAAAUUUUCUGAAAGAUCAUUUUUAAAAGGAUAAAGCUCGGAGAAACAAUUAUGCAAAUAAAUCCCCUGAUAAAGAAUUGUUUUUAUAAAGAGGGCACAUAAGUCCAACAAUACCUUUUGAAAGUUUUUUUUUCACUAGAGGUAAAAAUCCAAAAUAACAAACGGGUAAAUCUUGACAAAUGGAAAAGUUUUAUUUCCUGGCCAAAUUUUAAUAAAUAAAAACAAGGUCAAAAUUUUGGGGUGUCACACCCUUUACCCUAAGUCGGGUUACAUCCGAUAUCCUCUUAAUCCGUCUGACUCAAAUUAUCAGGGAACUUCCCAUUCAUCGUCCGGUGAGUCGUCAGCGACACAACUUCCUCUGAAAACCGUCCCUGGGUAAGCAUAACAUACUUUUAACUUUUUGGUCUUGUAUUAUAUUGUCAUAUCAAUCUUCGUGUCUGCUCUUUUUCAGUGCUAAAGCCAGACCAAGGAAGAAGGCUAGAUUGAAUAGGCCAACCGACCAUGAACCGGCUACCGAGCCGGAGAAAACCCCAGAGGCUAUUGACCCGGAGGCUAACACUGUUAUUGAUAAUCCGGAACCUCAAGCAACCGAUGCGCUUGUUGAACAGGUAGAAAAUAAUCCAACAAGCCAGUCAGCUGAUCCACUAAGUCCAACUGUUGAUCCGCCGAGUCCGGCUAAAGCAUCCGAUAAACCGCCAAGCUCUGCCAAAACUACGGACGACGAUGUUGUCGUAACUGGCCUUGGUUUCAGCUCCCCUGGUUGUCCUGUCGCGUUAUCAAAGCAUAGCACCAAAGAAGAAAUUUCUGCUAUGGACAAAGGGAAAUGGAAAUCCGAGUUAUCCAAUUAUACCAACCUCAGCGCUGAAGACCUUCAUUCUGGUUUUUUAAACCGCCUGUAUACAAGCCGUGACUUUGAAGCCGGUUUAGUAGGCCUGAUGAAGGAGCGGUAUGAGGUAAAUGUCACUUUCCCUUUGCAUAAAUAUUCCAAUAGUCCUUCUGUUAGGACUGGUCUAACGUAUCAACUCCAGUAGCCCCCAAGGGCCGGUGCAUAACAUUGGUUCGAACCGGGUCUUGAAUCAAUAUUUGCAUUUUGCUGGUGUAGCCCCCAUGAACCGGCUUCUAUCUUUUUAGAAUGAACCGGUACAUCCUAUUAAUCUCACCACUUAUAAUGAUGACAAUCCAUCUGAAUCUGAACAAAUACGCAUUAGCCCCCAAGUGUCAAGUAGAUAACUUGUUAUGUGCUUGAGACUUUAAAUUAAUAGCUGAUAAGAAGCAAUACGCAUUAGCCCCCAAGUGUCAAGUAGAUAACUUGUUAUGUGGUUGGGACUUCAAUGUUGUAAUGCUAACUUAUUAUCUGUAUUUUGCAGGCUGAGUUGUCCAAAAAAGACUCCCAAAUCACUGAUCUCCAAGGAAACAUCAAGUCUCAGCAAGACGAAACUUGCAAAGUUAAGAGCGAGCUGACCACCGCUUUAACAACCAUGGAGCAGCUGAAGGAAUUCUUCAAAGGCGAACGGGCAGAUUGGGAAACUGAAAAAACCACCUUGUUAAAGCGGGCAGAAGAUGCGGAAAACGCCCUUAAACCGGCCACAGAAGAGCUGAGCAGCCUGAAGCGGCAGAUUGAUGCCAUGACCUCUGCCAUCUUUGGUGACAAUCUCUUCACCAAUAUGUAACAACACUAGUUAUAAAAACUUCCGGUUUAAUAAUAAUAUGAUCCUUUUGCAGGUAGCCGUGUUACUCAUCUUGGCGCAGAUAUGCGCAAAAAAUUGAAGGCCGUCUAUACUUUGGUAGAGCAACUUUAUACCGACGCGCAACGAGCCAUCUGCACAGCUUCCAAUAACCAUCCGCCCCCGUCACUAAUCAAGGAAACGCUGGAAAAAUUGUCUAUGAUGCCUGCCCGGAUUGUGGAAUUGAAGAAAUCCGCUGCUAGGUUCGGUGCCCUUACUGCACUGACGCGUGCCAAGGCCUGGAUCUCUGACCUUGAUCUGGAAGAUGUUGGAAAUGGUUACCCAAGCCAAAAAGAGGACGGUUCAGAAUUUAACAAUGACGAUCUCCGGGCUAUCACAAGAGAGAUGCGACCACUGGCAAGUAAGUUGGCUGAAGAUACUAACUUGUCAAUUUACCAGAAUGUAUAUGACGCCAGUGGCAAGCGAAUAAGUGCUCCAACUUAUGACGUGGAAAAUCUGAUCUCGCCGAUUCGUAAGCACACUUACGCUCCAGAUGUUGAACCGUCUGAUCUUAUACACGACGAAGCUGUCUUUCAAGCCUUAUCAGGAAUUGAUUGGACAACUAUUGACUUCCAGCCACUGGGUGGAGAGAAGGAGGAUGAACCGGCGCAGGAAGAUCCGCAACCUUCACAUCAACCUGAGGCAGAAUCAUAAUCCGGAAGCCAAUUCAACUUGUGCCUAUUGUCAUCCUUGUGAAAAACAAUCAUUCUUAUGGGCAGUCGAAACGCCUUGUAAUAGGCUAGCUUGAACAGCUGAUCUGAUAUGCCAUCGUGCAUACUUGUUGCACACAAUAUUGUUAAUCCGUCAUGCUAUAUUUUCUUAUGAUCUUUAUCGAUUUUAUACAGCCCUGUUUCUGCAUAAAACAAAGUGAAAACUGUCCUGGCGGUUUACCGCCGGACGGGUCAUAAUGCCCAAUAUAUAGCCAAGGUUGAUAACCAUAGCUUUAAAUAAUGAAAUAUGAAACAUAUCAUACCUGUGAUAUUGAAUCACUUUGUUGGUUUACCAUCAUUCUUGUAAUAAGGGUGAAGACCCAAAUACUGAGUAUUGAUAACUCAAACCAUGUUAUGCUGGUAUAUAAUAAGUGAUGCCGGGUUAUGAUAAACACUGGAUGAUCAUCCUGGCAACUUAUAGUUAACUCCAGGCUGAGUUAAAUAAACACCAGUUUAUACGGAUGACUUAUAAUCAGGCCGGGCCAUUGGACGCCGGUUUAGCUCAAAACUUUAAUCAAGGGAGAAAAACAAAACUGACCAAUAAAAACCAGAGAAAAAAAACUUGUAGUCGAGGCUUUUCAAGGGCUGCCAGGCCCAAAUGCGAGGCUUUUCAUGGGCUGCCAAGCCACUGAGUUAAACCGUUUUACAAAGCCUUUUAAGAUGGUCCUCAAUCCUUAACCAAUCGCCGGUCUAUCAUUGACAAGUUCAGGGUCAUAUGCAAUUGACUUGUCAAGUUGGCGGGUCAUACCAGGCUUACCUGGGCGGAGUGACUUACUUAAUGAAGGCAGGUUAACCCGGGGUUUUAGGUGUAUAUACCAGGCUUCCAAGCCAUAGCUUGAUAGCCUAUUGCAAAUGUAGAUUUCUUUGUUCAUUGUGAUAGCAAAGAAUCCCCAAGCAACAUUUUGAGCUAUGCUCAAUGGGUGCCUAUGUUUGAGUUGUUCUUGACAACACUCUUUGGCCCCUAAGUAAUGGCAUUGCGCCAGCCAAAAGGUGUAGCUAUGGUUGAACACAACCAAGCCCCCAAGUGACUUACUGUCGUGGCUUUUGAGCCAGCCAAGAGGUGUAGCUAUGGUUCGAAUACAACCAAGCCCCCAAGUGACUUUCUUUUGUGGCCUUGAGCCAGCCAAGAGGUGUAGCUAUGGUUCAAAUACGACCAAGCCCCCAAGUGACUUAUAUUGAUAGAUAGCUGUAAAGCUGAUUCAAAGGGUAAACCGGAUGUCGCUUUACGAACGGAAACCUCCGUGUAACCACUCAUGAUAUGAGAAGAACAGCAGAUACCCCGCUUUAGCUGGGGCUCCGGUUUAUUAUAUUGAUCAUAAUAUAUACAUCGUCAAAAUAUGUACAUGAUAGGAGCCUAUGGCUCAGGUGUAGUACGGCCGUAGAUGAGCUAUGUUCCACGGCCGGAUCGUCUCCUCCUCUGACUUGCGUGAGUCUUUAUGCUCUCGAACAUCAAUGAGGUAAUAUGAUCCGUUGUUUAGAUUCUUGCUGACCACAAAGGGCCCUUCCCAAGGCGGGGAUAACUUGUGCAUAUCGGUCUGAUCUUGGAUAAGCCGGAGCACCAGAUCACCUUCUUGAAAAGUUCUGGUUUUAACCCGACGACUGUGAUAACGCCGCAGGUCUUGCUGAUAAAUCGCCGAGCGAGCCGCCGCUACGUCCCGUUUCUCAUCCAACAGGUCCAACGCAUCCUGGCGUGCUCUUUCAUUAUCUGCUUCAACAUAAGCUGCCACUCGUGGUGAGUCAUGACGAAUAUCACUUGGAAGGACAGCUUCCGCUCCAUAAACCAUGAAGAAGGGUGUAUAACCCGUAGAUCUAUUGGGGGUGGUGUUAAUGCUCCAUAAAAUGGAAGGCAACUCUUUAACCCAACAACCCGGUGUCCUCUGCAAAGGAACCAUAAGCCGUGGCUUGAUCCCCUUCAAGAUUUCCUGAUUAGCUCUCUCCGCUUGACCAUUAGACUGGUGGUGGGCCACUGAAGACACAUCAAGACGGAUGUGCUCUCUUUGACAGAACUCCUCCAUAGCACCCUUGGAAAGAUUCGUGCCAUUGUCUGUUAUAAUGCUGUGUGGAAAACCAAAACGGAAUAUCACCUUCUUCAUAAAUUGAACCGCCGUGGUUGCAUCACAUUUGCUAACUGGCUCUGCCUCCACCCACUUGGUAAAUUUAUCAACCGCCACCAAGAGGUGGGUCUUCUUAUCCUUAGACCUCUUAAAGGGUCCAACCAUAUCAAGCCCCCAGGUUGCAAACGGCCAGGUAAUUGGAAUCAUCCUCAGUUCCUGAGCCGGAACAUGAGCCCGGCGUGCAAACUUCUGACAGCCAUCGCACCUUUUGACCAAGUCCUCAGCAUCAGCAUGAGCCGUCAGCCAAUAGAAACCGUGAUGAAAAGCCUUAGCCACCAGGGACUUUGAAUCGACAUGAUGACCACAAUCACCUUCGUGAAUUUCGCGUAAAAUUUCACGACCUUCUUCAGGAGAAACACAACGUUGAAAAGCCCCUGAGACACUGCAAUGAUGUAGCUCGCCAUUGACAAUAGUCAUGGACUUGGAACGCCGGAUUAUCUGCCUGGCCAGAACUUCAUCCUCUGGUAACUCACCCCGGUUCAUAUACACCAAAUAUGGGAUCGUCCAAUCCGGGAUGACAUGAAGCGCCGCCACCAACUGAGCCUCUGGAUCAGGAAUAGCUAAGUCCUCCGUGGGUAGCUUGACCGACGGGUUAUGCAAACAUCAAGAAAAACAUUGGGCGGCACCGGUUUACGCUGGGAGCCCAACCGGCUUAAAGCGUCCGCCGCUUCAUUCUUUCGCCGGUCUACAUGAUCAACCUGAUAACCCUUGAAAUAACCUGCAACAAUACCCACCUCUCGACGAUACGCUGCCAUGAGGGGGUCCUUGGAAUCCCAAGUACCAAAAACUUGUUGAGCCACUAGGUCCGAGUCACCAAAACAUUUAACCCGGCUCAGGUUCAUCUCCUUAGCCAUCCGAAGACCAUGGAGCAGGGCCUCGUACUCAGCUGCAUUAUUAGUACAAGGAAACAUCAAGCGGAGAACAUAACAAAAAUUUUCACCUCGAGGGGAAGUAAGAACCACUCCAGCCCCCGAGCCCUCCGAUUGCCUGGAUCCGUCGAAAUGAAUCGUCCAGUAUGUGUUAUCCGGUCUAUCCUCCGGCACUUGCAACUCUGUCCAGUCAUUGAUGAAAUCCACGAGUGCUUGAAACUUGAUGGCCGUGCGAGGCAUAUAUUUUAAUCCGUGAGGCCCAAGCUCAAUAGCCCACUUAGCAACCCGGCCAGUCGCUUAUCUGUUCUGGAUGAUAUCUCCCAAAGGAGCAGAACUGACCAUAGUAAUGGGAUGGCCCUGAAAGUAUUGCUUCAGCUUCCGGCUCGCCAUAAAAACCCCAUAUACAAGCUUUUGCCAAUGUGGAUAUCUCUGUUUUGACUCAAUGAGCACCUCACUGAUGUAAUAAACCGACCGUUGAACCGGAUACUCCUUUCCUGCCUCCUUGCGCUCCACCACAAUAGCCACGCUGACAGCCCGAGCAUUAGCAGCCACAUAUAACAGCAAUGGUUCCAUGUCCAUGGGAGCAGCAAGAACAGGUGGUUCGGCAAGCUGCCGCUUUAGAGCCUCAAACGCUUCAUUAGCCGCAUCACUCGAGACAAAGUUGUCCGUUUUCUUCAGCAUUUGAUAUAAAGGGAUGGCCUUCUCCCCGAGACGACUUAUAAACUGGCUCAAUGCUGCAAUCCGGCCUGCCAGUCGCUGAACAUCAUUGAUGCACUUCGGUUUAGCCAGUGAAGUAAUAGCCUUGAUCUUCUCCGGAUUAGCUUCAAUGCCCCUGUUAGACACCAGAAAACCCAAAAGCUUGCCUGCUGGCACACCAAAAACACACUUGGCCGGGUUGAGCAUCAUCUUAUGAACCCGGAGGUUAUCAAAGGUCUCCUUUAAGUCAUCUAUUAAUGUUUCCUCCUUCCCGGACUUCACCACAAUAUCAUCCACAUAAGCAUGAACGUUGCGCCCAAUCUGGUUAUGAAGACAAUUCUGAACACAACGCUGAUAAGUUGCCUGGGCACUCUUGAGCCCAAAGGGCAUAGACACAUAGCAGAAGGCUCCAAAGGGAGUUAUAAAAGCUGUCUUCUCCUGGUCCUUAACUGCCAUCUUAAUCUGAUGAUAACCUGAAUAAGCAUCCAGAAAACUCAAACGCUCACAGCCCGCCGUAGCAUCAAUGAUUUGAUCGAUACGGGGGAGGGCAAAAGGAUCAGCCAGACAUGCUUUGUUCAAAUCCGUGUAAUCCACACACAUACGCCAGGUGCCAUUCUUCUUAAGCACCAGCACCGGAUUAGCCAACCACUCCGGAUGAAAAACUUCAACAAUGAACCCUGCCGCCAAGAGCCGGGCUACCUCCUCACCAAUAGCCUUGCGCCUCUCUUCAUUGAACCGGCGAAGGAAUUGUCGGACCGGUUUAAACUUGGGAUCAAUAUUAAGGGUGUGCUCAGCGAGUUCCCUCGGUACACCUGGCAUGUUAGAAGGCUUCCAUGCAAAGAUAUCCCAAUUCUCACGGAUGAACUCGAUGAGCGCGCUUUCCUAUUUCGGAUCCAGAUUUGCACUGAUGAUGAACUGUUUGGAUGAAUCGCCGGGCACAAAAUCAACCAUCUUAGUCUCAUCAGCCGAUUUAAACUACAAGGCCGGAUCAUGCUCCGUGGUUGGAUUCUUCAAAGAAGUCAUGUCUGCCGGAUCAACAUUGUCCUUAUAGAACUUCAACUCCUCUGCUGCACAAACCGACUCAGCAUAGGCCGCAUCACCUUCCUCACACUCCAAAGCGAUCUUGCGGCUUCCAUGUACUGUGAUAGUCCCUUUAUGACCCGGCAUCUUGAGCUGCAGAUAAACAUAACAGGGUCGUGCCAUGAACUUAGCAUAAGCCGACCGUCCAAACAAGGCAUGAUACGGGCUUCGGAUUUUCACCACUUUGAAAGUCAAUGUCUCUGAUCUUUAGUCAUACUCAUCUCCAAAAGCGACUUCCAGAGCUAUUUUACCAACCGGAUAGGCUGAUUUGCCAGGCACCACACCAUGGAAAACAGUGUUCGACGGUUUAAGAUUCUUAUCUGUCAACCCCAUACGAAGGAAGGUGUCAUAAUAUAAGAUGUUGAUACUGCUGCCUCCGUCCAUGAGCACCUUAGUGAACUUAUAACCUCCAACCUGAGGCGCCACCACCAACGCCAAAUGACCCGGAUUGUCAACCCGGGGUGGGUGAUCCUCUCGGCUCCAGACAAUAGGAUGCUCAAACCAUCGCAAAUAACGAGGCACUGCCGGUUCAACCGAGUUCACCGCUCGUUUAUGAAGCUCCUGAUCGCGUUUGCAUAAGCUGGUGGUGAAAAUGUGGUACUGUCCACUAUUCAACUGCUUUGGGUGACUUUGGUACCCUGACUGUUGCUGCUGCGGUCCUUGUUGGUUAUAACCACCCUGGUUGCUUUGAUUGCCUUGAUUGCCAUGUCCACCCUGAUUGCCUUGGAAUCCUGAACCGGAGUUGCCUCCUCCAUAACCCGGCCCAUAGGACCCGGAUCCUGAACCGCCAGAUGGUCCAUGAUCAUUCUGGAAGAAAUCUGAAUUUUUGAAUUCUCGCAUGAUAUAACAAUCUUUCCAGAGGUGCGUGGCCGGUUUGUCCUGCGUUCCAUGCUUCGGGCAGGGCUGGUUCAACCGGUAAUUCAGGCGCUCCGGAUUAGGACUGGGCUCUGCCCUUCUUGGGGGUGGCUUUCCUUUACGACGCUGACCAUUACCCUGUGUAUUGGUGUUAGCCACAAAAUCUGAAUUAUGAUCUGCUUUCCGCUUACCAUUAUUAUUGUGGCCCGUCGGGUUAUGUUGCUGCCCCUUGGCAUUGCCGCUCUUCUUUCCCUUCCCCGGUUUGUCAUCGUCAGACUCGGGGUCCUUGGUACUAUCAGAAUCAACAUACUUAACCAGAGCGGCCAUAAGUGUUCCCAUGUCAUUGUAGUGAUGCUUGAGCCGUCCCAACAUCAACUUUAAAGGCUGAAACGACAAUUCCCCUGCAAUGUUAAUCGCCGAGUCGGCAUUGAUGCGAUCCGAAGAAUGUAAGAUCUCUGAAACCCGGCGCACCCAAUGGGUUGUUGACUCGCCUUCUCCCUGGAUGCAGGCGGCUAAGUCCGCAAUUGACAUAGGUUGCUUGCACGUGUCUUUGAAGUUUGCUAUAAACCGGGCUUUUAACUCAGCCCAUGUCCCAAUGGAAUUAACUGGUAAGCUUUUCAACCAUGUGCGAGCUGUUCCAUCCAACAUCAUAGCGAAAUAUUUCGCGCAGGCCGCUUCAUCCACAUCUAACAUCUCCAUAGCCAUCUCAUAACUCUCAAUCCAUGACUCGGGAGGCACAUCAGCGGUGUAUUAGGCACCUUACGGGGGCCCUUGAAAUCCUUGGGCAGCCGUACAUUGCGCAAAGCCGGGACGAGGCAGGGCACCCCCCAAGAGCUGAAAGUAAGGCCUUGCUCUACGGAAGCCACCGCAUGAACCGGAGUGAGCUGACGGUCCUGCGCUGCUAACUCGGCUUCUCGACGUGCUCCGUUGUUCACCACAUCCUGAGCAUUUGCCCCACCACGCGCCGGAUCAGGUCCUCGAGGAGCGUCUCGGUUCCGCGCACUGCUUGACACAGCCGGUUCAUCGAUGUGCCUGCUAUAAAUCCGGCUCGGGCGUGGGGUUGAAUGAAUUCUGUCUCGGCUGUAUGAAUAAGCCUGCUGCUGCACCAUAGCCGUCUAAAGAAGAUCCCUAGCAUGCCGCGUCUCAACCGCCGCUGGGGAUUCACCCUCCAUUGGAAUAGCGGCUAAUUGUGAUGCGACAGCGAUCAUAUUAUCCAAAGGGGUGGAGAAGUGUCCCGGUGGCACCGGUACAUACUGCAACGGGUUAUGGGUCCGUCGAGGGGGAUCCAUCACCCGUGGCUGAUCCGGUGCUCCGGUCCUCGGCGUCUCAAUCCGGUUCACCGCUGCCGGAUUACUGGUUCCUGCUCCUGGCGUGCCAAAGAGAUUCAUUGCCUCAUAAACCAGUGGUAGUCGUGACCGAUGCCUUCUCCUUAACACGUCGUUUGAAUCGUUCUGAUCCAACAGCAGUCGAUAAUUCUCCGCCUGAAUCCGCUGUGCUUGUGCCUCUAAAGCGACCCGCUCCUCAGCCAUCCUGGUUUCUUCAGCCGCUAAGUCCUCCUUAGCUUGAGUUAUCUAAUCCUACAGCUUAGCCACCUCCGCAUUAUGCUAAUCUUGGGUGUCGGCGGUAACUUGUGUGGCCAGUAAGGUCGUCCAAGCGUCCAAUAAAUCAGACAAGAUUUGGGUCGGCCGGCGCGCGGGGCCUCCCGCCCCAGCUGCCGAUCCGGAAAUUAUUGCUGCCGCGGUUGAAGAUUGCAACGUGGGCUGAGUUCCAGCCAUGAAGAUCACAACCUGGUUCGACGAUUCAAAGGGGUCCGGAAUACUGUCGCCAUCGGAAUAGCCCCCAAACUGGCCAUCUUGGAGUUGGUACAGUGACCCGGUCUCCCCGGUGGACGACUCGUCAUCUGAGUAGACGACGGUCUCGCCAUCGGACGCCGGUUCAAGUUCCGCACCAUUGAUGAAUCCUACGAAGCACGCUUCACGGCGGGCUGAACCCGGGCAGGGCUUGCACGCUGAGCCAUCUCGACGAGGUCGGUGCAGAUGUCCGGCUCAGGGCCCGGUUCGCCGAUCUUGCCGAUGAAGACGUGAAUUCCUCCAAAGGGGACCCGGUACCCAUACUCGAUUGAGCCGGCCUCAGGGCCCCAGCCUGCAUCAUCAAUGUAGAGCUUGCCGCGACGACUCUUGGUCAUCCGGCCCACGGCGUAUCCCUUGAGCCCUUCAAAAUUGCCCUUCAAGAACUCAAAACCAUCGCGCGAUAGCCCCAUGAUGGGCGCCAACUGUCGUGGGUUUGUCACGGCAGAUGUCCUAGCGAAAGGACUUAGUCGUGGAGCCAUCGCAAUGGGUUAGCUUGAAGGGGUUAAAGCGGACAAGGGACGCAAGAGAGUUUUAUACUAUUUCGGCCCCUUCGAGGAAGGUAAAAGCCUACGUCUAGUUGUGAUGGAAUUGAUGGGGUUUUGUUGACCAGGGAGCGAAUACGCUUUGCCUGAGUCUCGAGUUGUUGUUUGUUGUCCUUGAACCGCCGCCGGGUCGUGCCUUUAUAUACACAGGUCGACGCCCGCUGGCUUACAGAGUCCCGAUGCCGGUUUAUACCCAUACCGGCUCAGUCUCUACUUUGUCAUACCUUACAAUACAAGUCAUGUACUACAUGGCGGUUUAUAGCUACAUGCCUUAAUCUACCUUUGGGCCUUGGGCCUUCGAGUCUCUGUAGUAAACCGCUUUAUUCCUUGUCUUCAUGGGCUUUUAAGUAUAAAAAAUCCAUUAUGGGGAUAACCCGGCUUCCUUUUCCGGUUUACACCUAGUAGUAAUAUCCCCAAGAAAGACUGUUUCUAACCACCUGUUUGAAGGAAUAAAUAAGGCAACAGAGGCUGAUGUCAGAAAGGCAUAUAUAGUUCUUUCUGAAAGAAUGAUCGAUUCCUGAUCCUUCCUCUUCUUUUAAGCAUAUUUUGUGCAGUUCAAUUAAAAUAAAAUGCCAUCACCGCCUUAACAAUUCAGUGACACUGUACAAAAGGAAAUGACUUAACAUUACAUCAUGAUGUCAGGUAUGUAGUCGACAGGCAUUAGAGACAAACUUAUAGACCUCCUCCGAUAACAUAAUGAACAUUAAUUUUAACAAAGGUGUGACUAGCUUUACCGGGAUAAUUUGAGUGAACUCUACACCCUCUGUUCCUUAACAUAAGACGUUUUCGUGGUUCAGUUUAAAGUACCCAAACGUCUACUAGUAUUUAGAAAAACAGGUAGUAGUUUUCUUGAGCACAUAUCUGGGAAAGCUUGCCACACUUUAUUUAUGUCCAUACGCCUAAUGCAACACCAUUCGAAAUUUCGAAUACUACAAAUAUACACUAAUCCAGUGGCUAGUGCAACAGUAGAGUAGUUAUUUUAUUACAGGGUACAAUACAAUGGUUUUACUGAACAGAUAUCAAUAAACUCUGGUACUGGAAGAUUUCUAUAAGAAUUAACAAUACAAAAUGUAAAGGUUACACGUUUCAGCAUUGGUAUACUAGCUGUGCAUGAGCAUUAAACCGAAUACAAAAGUCUGAAGGUAACUAGCAUUAUUAACUAAUGACAGUAUAAAAAAUUGCAAACCAUGUACCUCCAAGGUAAAUAUCAUUUCGAACUCGGGGGGGGGGGGCUUAAAAAUUGCUAUCCCAAUCUUGAUAAUCGAUCAAACAUAAAAACUUGAUCGAACGAGUCAAGAGAACAGUCGGAGGAGGAGGUGCCCACUCUUGACCUUUCCUCUUGUCUUCAUAAUUUUUUGUGCAAUUUAACCAAAAUAAAAUGACAUCAGCGCCUUGGCAUUUCGGUGACACUGUACAAAAAAAUAAACUUAUCUCAUGAAAGUGAGGUAUGUAAUCUAUAAGCAUUAACAGUGCAAAAAUCUGAAGGUAGUAACAAGUUUCAUCAUUGGUAUACUGGCUAUGCAACAGCAUUAGAAUGCCUUAGCUGAAAAAUCUUUAAUACAUCCACAAUCAACAGCUAACCCUGAAAUAAUCCAGUGACAUUAAAUGGCAUUGCUUAAAUUUAUCGGUGGCAUUAGACUGAGUGCGGCAUUAGUUAAAUGUGGCAUCACUUUAGCAGUAGCAUUGCUUGACUUGACUGCUGGCGUUAUACUAACAUAAAAAAAGUGACACUAAGAGCAUGGGAGGCCCAUUCGGACAGUGGGCACACCAGUACGAUGUACCUCCACGGACGCAUAGAGUGGUGAGGGAGGUAUGGUUGCCUAGAGCAACAAAUAUCCAUGCAGCAUAUGUGGAUUACGUCCCAUUUUUGUUAUGUUUAGCUACCCUUUUCCUAUGUGAGGACAACAAACCGAUUGACCUGGUCAUUCUCUAUUGCGUUGUCAUGCCUUUCUACCCUUCUUCAACCAAGAGACACGAGACUCGUUCCUUAGCUACUGAUUUCCCCUUUUCAACCUAGAUGCGGGUUCGAUGCCUACUCUUUUGGACAGUACAGUCUCCCUUCCUUUCCUUAUUCAACCCAGACAUGGAUUAGUCUGCAUGAAGUAGGGUUUCCUUUAAUAGUGCAAAUUAAGGUUUUCAUCUGCGUGACCAGCAGAGCAGAGGAUAGCAAAUUGGGAAGAUGGUGGAGUGGAAAAAGAUCCACAUGCAGUGACAUGGUAGAUGGGGCAAUAGAACAAGGGUAUGGUUCGAAAAGAGGUAGAAUACCUGAGGGCCGGCGGGAAGUGGCUUCGCUCGUGGUCGUCGUCCUCCGCACGCACUACGACAGCGAGCUUGGGGACGGAGGCCAUCCCGCGCGGGCGCUAGGUCUGAGAGGACGGCCUUGUCGUCAGUGCGUGACCUCGCUCGCCGACGACGAGUGUGUCAACGCUGCACGUCCUUUUCUUCCCCGGCGGAUCUGUGACCACCGGUGAGGAGGAAGAGAGAGGCCGUCUUUUUUAGAUCUGGAGAGAGGGUGAUAGUGUGAGAAGCAAGUGGGCAGCCCUUAGCAAGAAAGCUCUGAAGCUCCAGCCUAUAUAUCUUUUUUAUACUAGUAGUACUAGAUGUGGAGUAGUGGUAGAGUAGUUUAUAUUUUCUCUGCAAAUAGUACCAGUUAGUCGUGCUUCAAAACUGAACGACACGCCAUUAAAAAAAUAAAGUUGAGAAAUAAUGCGGCACCUCGGGCCAACGCGGCCAGAUCGCAUUUUGCACGAGAAAUUACACACCAUGUUUCGUUGACAUGUGGUCCCGUUCCAACAUGUCAGUGAGACGAUGGCGAGUCCUUUUGUACAAUUUCUGAAAGGACGUGUAGGCCGGGGCGACUCUUCGUGUACCGUGGCAAACUGGCAACCGUCCACCGACUCUUCGCCUUUCCCUCUCGAUUUGGAAUUGCCGUCGCACGGUCUUCCUCCCUCCUCCAUUUUCCUUCAUCCUUCCUUCUGCCAUUGUUCGAUCGUCUUCUCCAUGGAGGGAACAAGCCGGAAAUGACCCCGUUAUUCUUGCCCCGAUCUGAAAGAUGACGUGGUGGGGGAACUCAUUGAUCGGUGCGACGUCAUCACCUCGGCUAGCAUGGCAGGUUCGUUCAAGCCCAUUCUCGACUCAACUAAUAACAUCAUUACUAAGAACCCAAGGGUCCAGGAGCGGUUUGAUCUCCCUUAUCUUCUUCGCUAUAAGCCUGUUCGCAUAGGCGCGGACGACGGAGGCCUCGCAUUGUGCAAGUUGAUGCCGCUUGAUAAUGAUACGUGUGAUGUCAAGAUGCCAUCGCUUAAGGGUAAGUCCUGGGCUAGCGCAAAUGGAGAUUGGGUUGUUUAUAUUGGGUACAAUUGUGAGUGGGAACUUGUGAAUGUGUACACUCGUCAGCGGAUUCCACAUCCAAAAAUCUCAGAGUGCCCUGAGGUUGAGCACACAGAUGAUCUACGUACGUUCAAAUACGAUCAUGGUGACUGUCGUCUACUGAAGAUAGCAAUUUUGUCGAGUUCCCGACCGCUCUUGGAAUUACAAGAACUAUCAAGUUGUUGCUAUCUUUGACAAGCUGGUUGUCGUCCUUCGUGGUUUGACUGGAUGGAUAUUGCUCAAAAAUCAGUUUCUAUACACAGAUGUGUACUGUGAUGCAAUUGAAUACGAGGAUCUUGUGUUUGCUGCCACCACUCGUGGCACUGUUUUUGCAUGGGAUCCUCGUAGUUUCGAUACGUUUGUCUUCCACCGUAAUUAUGAUUGUUUCAUCCACAUGCGUGCGGGUUAGCAAGUUUCCCUUUACUAAUUAACCUUCUUCUUGUGUUUCCAAGGUCCUGUGAACAUUCCACCACCUAUACUUGAAAAAUUUUAUAAGCAAGGGGGAGAUGACGAUGGUGAUUAUCAUGAGCAUGAGGAGGAGCAUAACUUUUAUACUCAGUGGCGCCUGGCAACUAAUUCCGAUGGAUCACCUCUUCUUGUCUGUAUACGGUGCACUCAGACUGUUACUACUGAGGAAGCAGGUGUUGUCUCCCAUGGUCGCCCUCUCCUGACCUAUUCCAACACCCGUUGCAUGGUAUUCAGGACGGAUACUAGUGUGCUAGCGCCAACACCUUCUCCCUGGUUCAAUAUUGAUAGUCUUGGAGCAAACUCGCUCUUCCUUGGACCAAACUAUCCAAUGAUGGUGAAAGACAAUCCAGCUGCUAUUGACACAACGUUACUACCAUUUAUGAGAAGCAACUGUAUCUAUACCUCGGACAUUUCGGUGGUUCCCUACCCUCGUCCUGAUAUAUGCCGCUUUAGCCUGGAUGAUCAGUCCUGCAUUGCUCUCGAUAUUGACAAUAGCUGGCCCUUCCCAGAGCACCUAUGGUUCAAAGCAAGUGUUUCCAACGCCGAGGAUUGGUUGAGUUGAAGUUCAUUUCAUUGCUUGUUAUUUGUUGUGUGAUGAAAACUUUAGUAUCUGCUAGAAUGUUUUGUUGGAAAUAAUCUAUAAUCCAACAUGUAUCCUCGUUGUCGUUGUGUGUUGAUGACUUGUUGUAUUUAAUGAAUGGUACAUUUCAGUUGCAAAUGCAUGUCAUAGACUCAAUUUAUGAAUGGUUUUCGAGUCACUUCUUGGAGUGUGAGUACCGUAGUAGUAUAGCCAGCAUCCGGUUAGUGUAUGAAGUUGCCACAUCACAUAGAGCCAACCUAAUAUUGGAGUAUGCUAGCCCUCCACCGGCGCACCGCUUCAAAUGGUGGAGGAAGUGAGAGGUCGCGUCACCUUGUGUCUAGAUCUGAGACGCCACGUGUACCAGAUGAAUGACUCCAAGUUUGACCACCGUGAUGCUAGGUGCGAGCCAAGGAAGACUGUUGGAGAGACCCCCCUCAUAAUUUUCCUACAUUGGUCGUUUGAUUCAUAGGAUAGAAUGCUAUAGGAUUUUUUUUCCUAUGUAAUCAUGUUUUAAUUGGCAAUCUAGCAUCUACUCCAACUUUUGUUUCACUUCCUUUGUUCCUACAAAGAGAGUACUUGCUCUAAAUGAUGUGCCGCUGUAAGAGCCGCCUAUAUUAAUUAACCAUGCUCUAAAAAGGUGGACCAGCUUUGGCUAUAGUAGUACUGUACUAGGUUAGUAGGUGACCUUGCGCUUGGCUCUUCUCUUCCGGAAGUCGAACAAUAAUGAUGGUGCUAUAGUAGUACUUCUGGCAUCUGACACCAAAUGAACUGCUGCACGUCCACCGCUUGUUAGCAAAAGUUUCUCCUCGUGCUGUGAGCCACCGCGCACGCGUUGGCGAGGGAGAAGGCAUAGUAAGCAAGCUUCACGUCGUUCUGCGAGUUGACGGGACACAUCAAAGUUAUUUAUUAGUACUCUCUUCAAAAAGGGUUGACCAUGUCCAUGGCUACCAUCCCGUGCUCUGUCAUUGAGUACAUGCACUAUUCACGUGCCAUCGAUGAGAAAAAUAUUGCGUAGUACUAGGUGCCAUCGAAGUGCAUGACUCACUUACGCACUGCAUAUCUCCAUUUUCUUGCAUGACACGCCACCUUGAUGCUAGAUGCCCCGCGUGUCAUGGAGGCAUAUAGUAUGAUUUUUUGUAAAAUGGAGGCAUAUAGAUGUCCCGCAUGUCGGCAACAGGAUGAACAAAGCUCAUGUCUUAAACGAAAGAGUGGAAGAACAUAGAUUCCCGACGACCGAGAAGGAGCUACAAACCUCGGGGUGGAGCGUCUGCACUCAUAAUAUUUUAUAUUAUUCAGCGAUAUAAAAUCAACCAAAUCUCUCCACGUUCCUAUACCAUUCUAUAGUAUGAGAAUAACUUUGAACGUAAGCCAUUGAUUCACUCUAUCCAAUGGUUAUAGUUGGAAAAUCCAAACAAAACCACGCAUUGGAUCAACUCUUUUUUCGAGAUCAACUCUUUUAGCACUUAGAUUGUUGCCGCCUGCCCACCUAGCCCACCUAUAUACCCGCUCACGUGUGAUGACCAAAGGAGCUAUCCACUCAGAUUGUAUGUUAAAAAACAAAGGUCGAUAACUAAUGUGGCACCUCGAGCCAACGCUGCCAGAUCGCAUUUUGCACGAGAAAUUACACACCAUGUUUCGUUGACAUGUGGUCCCGUUCCAACAUGUCAGUGAGAAGACAGCGAGUCCUUUUGUACAAUUUCCGAAAGGACGUGUAGGCCGGGGCACCUCUUCGUGUACCGUGGCAAACUGGCAACCGUCCACCGACUCUUCGCCUUUCCCUCUCGAUUUGGACCUGCUGUCGCACGCUCUUCCUCCCUCCUCCAUUUGCCUUCACCCUUCCUUCUGCCAUUGUUCGAUCGUCUUCUCCAUGGAGGGAACAAGCCGGAAACGACCCCGUUAUUCUUGCCCCAAUCUAAAAGAUGACAUGGUGGGGGAAAUCAUUGAUCGGUGCGACGUCAUCACCUCGGCUAGCAUGGCAGGUUCGUUCAAGAACAUUCUCAACUCAACUAAUAACAUCAUUACAAGGAACCCAAGGGUCCAGGAGCGGUUUGAUCUCCCCUAUCUUCUUCGCCGUGACCCUGCUGACUGGCGCGGGGAUAAGGGAAGCCUCGCCUUGUGCAAGUUGAUGCCGCUUGAUAAUGAUACGUAUGAUGUUAAGAUGCCAUCGCUUGAGGGCAAGGCUUGGGCAGGCGCAAAUGGAGAUUGGGUUGUUUAUAUUGGGUACAAUUGCGAGUGGGAACUUGUGAAUGUGUACACUCGUCAGCGGAUUCCACUUCCAAAAAUCUCCGAGUGCCCUGAGGUUGAGUACACAGAUGAUCUACGUACGUUCAAAUAUGAUCAUGGUGACUGUCGUCUACGGAAGAUAGAAAUUUCUUGAGUUCCCAACCGCUCUUGGAAUUACAAGAACUAUCAAGUUGUUGCUAUCUUCGACAAGCUUGUUGCCAUCCUUCGUGGUUCGACUGGAUGGAUAUUGCUCAAAAAUCAGUUUCUAUACACGGAUGUGUACUGUGAUGCAAUUGAAUACGAGGGUCUUGUGUUUGCUGCCACCACCCAUGGCACUGUUUUUGCAUGGGAUCCUCGUAGUUUCGAUACGUUUGUAUUCCACCAUAAUUAUAAUUGUUUCAUCCACAUGCAUGUGAGUUAGCAAGUUUCCCUUCUCUACUAAUUAACCUUCUUCUUGUGUUUCCAAGGUCCUGUGAACAUUCCACCGCCUAUACUUGAAAUUUUUUAUAACCAAGGGGGAGAUGAAGAUGGUGAUGAUCACGGGCAUGAGGACGAGGAGGGCCCAUAUACUCAGUGGCGCCUGGCAACUUCCGAUGGAUCACCCCUUCUUGUCUGUAUACAGCCCACUACUGAUGUUACUACUGAGGGAGCAGGUGUUGUCUCCCAUGGUCGCACUCUCCGGACCUAUUCCAACACCCGUUGCAUGGUAUUCGGGAUGGAUACUAGUAUGCUAGCACCAACACCUUCUCCCUGGUACAGUAUUGAUAGUCUUGGAGCAAACUCGCUCUUCCUUGGACAAAACUAUCCAAUGAUGGUGAAAGGCGAUCCAACUGCUGUUGACACAACGUUACUACCAUUUACGAGAAGCAACUAUAUCUAUACGUCGGACAUUGCGGUGGUUCCCUACCCUGGUCGUGAUAUAGUAGGCCGCUUCAGCCUGGAUGAGCAAUCUUGCGUUGGUCUCGAGAUCGACAGUAGCUGGCUCUUCCGAGAGAAUCGCUUGUGGUUCAAAGCAAGCGUUUCCAACGCCGAGGAUUGGUUGAGUUGAAGUUCAUUUCAUUGCUUGUUAUUUGUUGUGUGAUGAAAACUUUAGUAUUUAUAAUGUAUCCUCGUUGUCGUUGUGGGUUGAUGACCUGUUGUAUGUAAUAAAAUGAUAUGCCUGUGAUAAACUCACUAAAUUUAUGAAUGCCCAUCGAGUCGCUUCUCUGAGUGGGUGCUGCGACGAGGCAAACAAAUAUUUUCUGAAUACAUAAUUGUACGUGCAUUGCAACAGGUUAUCGGAUGAGGCCAAUCAACAAUAGUACACUAUUUGUACUAGCUUCACAUGCUGCACUAUCUCUACGUCUACGUACGUAAUACAAGUUUUAAACUUGAGACCAGCCACCCAUCCUCACAAAGAACACUUUUUAACCUAGCACAGACUCCAGGAAAUUUGGCCACAGUGUGAGGUGGGCCAUAUGUACAUAACCAGCACCUCGAAUCCUCGAUACUACUACUACUA
This 50008-nucleotide long non-coding RNA is filed under the name Triticum aestivum (bread wheat). RNAcentral describes it as "long non-coding RNA (TAES_LNC019852)". The record is from RNAcentral. Lineage: Eukaryota; Viridiplantae; Streptophyta; Magnoliopsida; Poales; Poaceae.